This 59961-nucleotide long non-coding RNA is filed under the name Triticum aestivum (bread wheat). Its description in RNAcentral is "long non-coding RNA (TAES_LNC016889)". Lineage: Eukaryota; Viridiplantae; Streptophyta; Magnoliopsida; Poales; Poaceae. The record is from RNAcentral.
UAAGCAAUAAAUCUCUUUCACUCACAAAAAGGUAGAAAUUGCAAUGCGGCCAUCCCAGCAUAUCAAAACAUUUCUGGUUGUGGCGAUGACCUUUUUUCCCAUAUGAUCCUAGAAAAUGGAUCGGGUUCCACUAUCAAGGGAUAACGAAACAACAAAUGCACAAAAAACAUCCCAGUGCAAGAACAUAGCCUAAAACUGGUUUCAACUGCUAACAACAAAAGCUAAUGGAUCCAAAUCUACUGCAAGUUGACUUGGGGUUCACAAUCAUCCCAAGCAAAAUGUUUUCGAUCACUAGCAUCAUCAUUCAGAAAACUCCAUUGCAUCGUUCCUCGUCCAGUAUUUCUCCAUUAGUUCACCUUCACCCACUUCUUGCUCCUCAUUUUCUCCAGCAUUACUCGCCUCGAUCCUCAACACAAGAUUUCUUGGCUCCGUGCGCCCACCAACAUGAUGUGCCAAUGCUUCUCGCUUCAAAGCAACAACACCUUGUUCCAGAAUCGCACACUCUUCAUUAUUUUGUAGAUUUGCCCAAUAAAGGAUAAACAUGCAUGCAUAACAAACGAAUUCAGCAAGAGAUCUAGUAAUUUUUUUCUCAAAACAAUAUCUAUUACAUAACUUGGAUGGGAAUGUAGUGGCUUAUCGUGAAGGUGAUGCACUCAUGGACUUGUAGUAGAGCUGGUAGCUGCCACAACAGCUUCCCUAUAUGUGGGUGGCCUUGAGGCAGGCGUCGCAGAGGGGCAUCUCUCCUCCAUCUCCUAUUAGGUCACAUCUGUGGAGUCCCUCGGUGUCUACCAUGACGUUGCUAUCAGGUCCCAUGGCUAUGGCUACUUUCAAGUUCCACUCACAGAUUGAUGAUGAGAUCUGAUCUAUUAGAUCCCAAAAUACCUAAAGCAUUAUAUCUCUGUGAGCAUGCAUGCUAAAGGUAGCAGAUCAAACCCAAACAAACAAGUAAAAAAGACCAAGACACUCACCGUCCUCUUGGGGUGGAAAUUGAUGUAGUCAUAGCCACACGACCUGUAAGCAAAUUUGUGGCAGAUGCGCAAGGAAGCCACGGGAGCGACCUGGUCAUCGAUCUAGAAGAGUUGGCCCUCCGUAACACCUGUCUCUUGGUCAUCAUUGAGGCCAGGAAUGGCUGGUUUGUCAUUGCUACCGAUGGUCGCCAAACCAAUGGAUCUAGGAGGUGGCGACGUCAUCAGAGCCAGGGUGGAACGCUUGCCAUUGGUAGUCGUUGUUCACUAACCCGAGGAGUGAAGAUUACUAUACUAUGGGUAACCGGCUGGUCUAGUUGUAUCGACUAUAUAUUGAGUCCUCUCUUAUCGACAUCGAGUCCUCUUGUCCGCCGGAUGCUCUCUCCGGUAUGCUUUUGUAUAGGUGCUAAUUAAUGAAAUUUAUUUGCUACCUUUUAGAUAGGCUUCAGGUGUAAUUGUUAGAGACGCGUAUUUUUUGUGUAUCUGCAUGCUGGAGAGUUGCGGCAAUUGGGUCCACAUUCUAGUCUAUAUGCGUGUGAUGGGCUGCUGCAUGUAGGUAGAUAUGGACUACAAAGUUCUUCUAUCUAUUUAGUGCGAUAUCACUACUAAUUAAUGUUUGAGAUAGAGUAGAUAUCACUACAAAUUAAUGUUUGAGAUAGAUUAGAUCAACUUUUACCACAUCGUGGUCAAUGAUCGUUGACUCGUGAGGGGUCCCUCGCCGCCUUUCUUGGUCAAGGCAUCUCCAACACCGACCCUCAAGCCUCCUGCAUCCGCCCGGACAGUGAAAGCUAUCCAACGUGCUCCUGUAUCGGUACGAGGCGCGGUCCAGAUGUAUACUUUCUCCUGCAAAUGGGAGACAAACGUGGGGAGUGGGAGGGGGGCUUUGCGGGAGUCUGCACCGCUCCCACGCCCGCUUCUGACCACCCUGGCCCGCCCAAACCUCCUUCUGCAUCCCGCGCGCUUCCCGCCCGACGCCAACUGCCCACAUUCACGCCGCUGUAGAGCGCGGCGCCCCACAUAUUGAAGCGGCGCACCCCCCGAUGACGCCGGCCACUGCACGCCCGACUGAACACGUCUCCAUUAAACCCGUGUGAAAGCUGAGGAACCUACUCCAGCCACACGUUCGUUCACGAGCGGGCCGACAUUAAAUGCAACGCCGGGAAAGCUCCUCCCAUGUGCCCUCUAUUUAAACAAGGCCAGACGUCGGGCAAGAAACGCACCACUCCGCCGCUCCCCAUCUCAUCCUUCCACAAUUUUCUUCGCCCUUUUGAUGGCAUCCGGUGAGCACUAAGAGCAUUUCCCCCGCAUAAAAGCCAGCUAGGUGUCCCACCGAGCCCGCCGAAUACGAGUGAUGCCGCUCACUGCUCCACCUCCCUCGUCUGGCCCGACGGAGCAAGUUGCCACCCCAAACUGACGCAUGGUUCACCACCUCGCCGCUCCAAGCCAGCUCACAAGGGAGCGGCCAUUUGCUCUAGGACGACACGACGACAUAGGCAUCGUAGCACCCAUGGUGACGCUGCGUCAUACUGCGUCUCUGAUGCCUAGGACCGUGCCAUCCGCCAGCAACGCGUGUGUAGCCGUGCGCUGCUGGCAGAGAAAGAAGCUGGCAGCAUAGAGAUCGAUGAGUCGGUGGAUGGCACGUCCACGUCCGCCGCCAACAUCGAGGGAAAGUAGAACACGGAGUAUAGCUGAUGACCUGUCCGGUUCUUCUUUAUCUCAGACCAUCAUUGGCCCCGCCUAGGCUCCACGAAAGCGGAGCCCCCCCUUCCCUCCAGCUGAAGCACCCUCUUUGCCACCGCGAUGAGUGGCGCGACCAAACAUAGGGAAGAUACGAGGGAAGAAUAUACCUCUGGGGCUCCCGACAGUCCGGGUAGUGGGCUGCCGGACAUGGAGAAGACAAAGGGAUCCUUCGCGUCCAGCCGUAGACUAGUGUAGUGUUUCUGUGUCGUGGGAGUGGAGCUCCACGCGACUGUAUGUGCACAUAGUUUUAUCUUUUUUGUUAAAAAUAUGUCCAAAUUGUAACUGUUUUCGUCCAGUUUGAAUGAAAUCCAUCAUGUUUAUAUGAAAUCCACCCAUGUUUGCAUGAAUUUCAUCCGGUUUGCUGAAAAAAUGUUUGCAAUGUAUGCGGCUACGAUUGGAUAGCGGCCUCCCGCAUCCGUUUGCUGGCUGCUAUUGGAGAUGCCCUCAAGCCAGCGUUUGGGCGGGUGUAAGGUGUCCCAUCAUCGGUACAGACAAAGUAUUGUAGGAUUUCUGAUCAAUAGAACUGGAAAGUCUCCGGGUGUGGAAACAUCCUCAUAAUCUUUACUACUCCAUCAUGAUUUAUAUGCCUCGCACAUAUUUCAAUAUAAACAUUGAAAAUUAAUUUAUUCAACAAAAUAUUAGUUAUAUGUCACAAAAACAAAACGUUAGAUUCACAUUCUAAACAAGUUUCCAAUGGUAUAGUUUUUGUGACAUAUAACUCAUAUUUUAUUGAUAAAUCAACGUACAUUUUUUUAUUGAAAUGCUUAAGACUUAUGAAUCAUGUUAGAGGUUAGACUCCACGAAUGACGAAAUUUAUCCCCAAGGUAUCUCUGACAAAAUUGUUACUCUAAUGUCACUUAUCAACAUGUGAUCCAAGUCAUAGCAAUAUCCAACCAAUAAUCCAAUGAAUAACGUAAUCAUAUCAUUUCCACUUACUCCGUAAGCAAUAAUAUCAAAUAUGAUCAUAUGAAAAUAUAGCUAAUGACCCUACUAAUCCGAUGGUAACAUGCCAAUAUCCAACUUGUAAACUACUCUACUAGUCACAAGAAAUCCAAGCAAUAACACGGCAAGAGAUAAUUCUAAUAAUUCCUCCAAGAUUGCCAUGAAUAAAUCAUCAUCAAGUAAUUCAAAAUAAAUCGAGUUUUAUUAUAUUAACCAUGGAAUUUCAUUGCAAUUAUGCAAGUGGAGGUUGUGGCUUGCCUUGCUCCAAGCGAGUGUUGCGAGUACUCUUGGUCUUCAUCAAACAGUGCUAACACUCUGGAAAACAAUAUUAACAAGCAAAAUAAAUUCUCUAUCUAGAAAUUCUAGACAACAAAGAAAAGUGUGAAACUCUACCAGAAAAUAAAGGAGCUCACAAGAGAAAAAAAUGCAAAAAGAAUCAACUCAUUUGGACUUGUAGUUUAGGAGCAAUGGAUGGUGAAAGUUGUGGUCAAACUGGAUUAAAAUAGCGUUAAAAUGGAUUUUCUGGAAUCUCCAUGGGCCGACGUCGAAGACUUAAACAAGGAAUACACUUUGACUUAAAUAUUUGGAUAUAUCUUCAAACAUGAUAUUUAAGAAUAGGAGAUUAAAUUGAAGAAGCCAUUGUUAACAAUGACAAAAGCAACAUGUGGGCAUGGAUCAAAACAAGGGAUAUUUACUUUGACAGUCUAAAAUUUGUGAUGUAUCUUGAGUCCAAACUGUAACGACUCUCAUGUUUAACGACGAUUGAGGUGUUUGGAAGUAUUGUUUGAAUACAUCCUCAAACAUAAUAUUUUUUAAAAAUUAAGUGAACAAAACAAAAAAAAUAUUGUGUGGGUUGGGGUGAAGUGUGUGUGGGGGAGGGGGUGGGGGGUGGGGGGGAUUAUUAUCGGAUAGUAUAUUUCACCUAAUUUUGUAACGCAAGCAUCCUGGUCAAUAUGUCCUCAAGAUACAUUCACACCUUUCCCCUCCCGGGCCGCUCGCGCGGGCGGCUCCGGAAGAAAAAACCUAGAUCCAAGCGCCCCUCCUCCCGAAGACAUCCUGGCCGCCGCCGUCGCCGCCGGCGGCGGUGGCGGCGCCCGGCUGCCAAAGGCAGCGGGCAAGAUCUGCACGCCCUGACAUGGCUCCUUCGCGCGGGCGAGCACCGUCUUGUGGGCGUCGUGACCGCUGGCGGUUCUGGUGCGGUGGCGCGCGGCAGAGAGCACUGGAGGAGGAGGAGCACGGUCGCGAGGUGGAGAGGGGUGGCGGUCUUCCUCGGGCGCCGGCGUGUGUGUCGGAGGCCGCGGCGCGGGGUCCCUGGCGGCUGCAGAUCUUGGAAUGGAGUGGUGACCGGGCGCGGCGGCCGGGAGUUGCGGUGGUGUCCGGGGCGUGCGGUGUGCUUCCUGCCGGCGCUAGAGUGGCUCGGGGAAGGCAGCGCCUUGGAUUGCUAGUGGCAGGGAUGUAGCUGGCAUGUAGGCAUUGGGGUCAAUUGACCCCAAUGGAUUUACUAAAUCCUUCAUUAUCUUAGUACUAAUCACUGUUGAUUUAUAGAAGAUGACCCCAUUGCCAUGGAUAUGACCCCAUCAAGCUUUUUUCUAGCUUCGUCCCUGGCUGGUGGUGGCGCGGUCAGGAUCUGGCCAGAGCUCGGUUCAGGAAAUCGCAAAGGGAGCACCUUGGUGGUGCGUGCGUUCGCUGGAGGCGCAGUGCGCUGGCUCCUCCCGUCCGUGCCCCUGGUCGCAGCGGCUUGGCUGGCUGCCAGAGUGGUUUGGCCAGCCCACGCCUGUGGUGCCGGCGGGUCUUGGCAGCGCCAGGGAGGGUGGCUUGGAGCUGGUGACGUUUGUCUUUCGACCGUGCAGGAGCUGGAGGUUGGCCGGCGUGGUCUCGGCUGUGUGAUGGGUCGGUGUUCCGCGACGGUUUUGGCCAUGAUGGCAAGGCGCUGCUGCAACGACGGUGUAACCCUGACAGAUUAGCCCAAUCCUUGGAUAGGGGUGGGAGGUGUGCGACUGUUGGAUGAAAAUCCUGCUCGUGUCUUCGGCCGGAGCUGGCGGCGACGGUGCCUGAGGGAGUCGUUUCCCUCCUUGGAGGUGUCGCUGAGGUGUGUCGGCAUCUCCCCUUCUUGAUCGGGAUGUGGUCUCCAGGCGAAAGCCUUGGUCUAUUGUAGGACUGGCGAUGGCGACGGUAUAACGUCGUUACUCUAUUGAGAGCAUCGUAGGCGGAGACUUGGCUUGCUGAUUCUGUCUGGUGGUUCUCCGGUGCUUGCCGCUGGUUCGAGUCGAUCUUUGUGGGCGCUAUGUACGUAGCCGCCGGUGAACUGAAGACGAUGGCUUUCUCGGGACCGACCGAGUCCCGCUACCCACCCGCCGUCUCCUCUUAGGCAUUCAAAGGUGGUAGUGCGUGUUGGAAAUAUGCCCUAGAGGCAAUAAUAAAAGGGUUAUUAUUAUAUUUCCUUGUUCAUGAUAAUUGUCUUUUAUUCAUGCUAUAACUGUAUUAUCCGGAAAUCGUAAUACACAUGUGAAUACAUAGACCAUAACAUGUCCCUAGUGAGCCUCUAGUUGACUAGCUCGUUGGUCAACAGAUAGUCAUGGUUUCUGACUAUGGACAUUAGAUGUCAUUGACAACGGGAUCACAUCAUUAGGAGAAUGAUGUGAUGGACGAGACCCAAUCCUAAGCAUAGCACAAGAUCGUGUAGUUAGUUUUGCUAGAGCUUUUCCAAUGUCAAGUAUCUCUUCCUUAGACCAUGAGAUCGUGUAACUCCCGGAUACAGUAAGAGUGCUUUGGGUGUACCAAACGUCACAACGUAACUGGGUGACUAUAAAGGUGCACUACAGGUAUCUCCGAAAGUGUCUGUUGGGUUGACAUGGAUCGAGACUGGGAUUUGUCACUCCGUAUGACGGAGAGGUAUCUCUGGGCCCACUCGGUAAUGCAUCAUCACAAUGAGCUCAAAGUGACCAAGUGUUUGGUCACGGGAUCAUGCAUUACGAUACGAGUAAAGUGACUUGCCGGUAACGAGACUGAACGAGGUAUUGGGAUACCGACGAUCGAGUCUCGGGCAUGUAACGUACCGAAUGAGAAAGGGAAUUGUAUACGGGGUUGUUCUAAUCCUCGACAUCGUGGUUCAUCCGAUGAGAUCAUCGAGCAGCAUGUGGGAGCCAACAUGGGUAUCCAGAUCCCGCUGUUGGUUAUUGCCCGAGAGCCGUCUCGGUCAUGACUACGUGUCUCCCGAACCCGUAGGGUCUACACACUUAAGGUUCGGUGACGCUAGGGUUGUAUGAAUAUGAGUAUGCAGUAUACCGAAUGUUGUUUGGAGUCCCGUAUGAGAUCCCGGACGUCACGAGGAGUUUCGGAAUGGUCCGGAGGUAAAGAAUUAUAUAUAGGAAGUGGUAUUUCGGCCAUCGGGAAAGUUUCGGGGUCACCCGGUAUUGUACCGGGACCACCGGAAGGGUCCCGGGGGUCCACCGGGUGGGGCCACCCAUCCCGGAGGGCCCCAUGGGCUGAAGUGGGAGGGGAGCCAGCCCAUAGUGGGCUGGUGCGCCCCCCUAGGCCCACCCCCUGCGCCUAGGGUUGAAACCCUAGGGUGGGGGGCGCACCACAUGCCUUGGGGGGCACUCCUCCCCCCUUGGCCGCCGCCCCCUUGGGAGAUUGAAUCUCCCAGGGCCGGCGCCCCCCCUUGGGGGCCUAUAUAAAGGGAGGGGGGAGAGGGGCAGCCGCACCCUGAAGUCCUGGCGCCCCCUCCCCCUGCUACACCUCUUCCUCCUCCGUCACGUGCUUGGCGAAGCCCUGCCGGACUGCUGCUGUUCCACCACCACCACGCCGUUGUGCUGCUGCUGGAGCCAUCAUCAUCAACCUCUCCUCCCCCCUUGCUGGAUCAAGAAGGAGGAGACGUCACACGCACCGUACGUGUGUUGAACGCGGAGGUGCCGUCCGUUCGGCGCUAGGAUCUCCGGUGAUCUGAAUCACGGCGAGUACGACUCCAUCAUCACCGCUCCCUCUAACACUUCCGUAUGGGAUCUACAAGUGGUAUGUAGAUGCAAACUCACUCCCUUGACUCAUUGCUUAGAUGAACUCAUAGAUGGAUCUUGGUGAAACCGUAGGAAAAUUUUUAAUUUUCUGCAACGUUCCCCAACAGUGGCAUCAUGAGCUAGGUCUAUGCGUAGUUCUCUAUUGCACGAGUAGAACACAAUUUUGUUGUGGGCGUAGAUCUUGUCAACUUGCUUGCCGCUACUAGUCUUAUCUUGCUUUAGCGGUAUUGUGGGAUGAAGCGGCCCGGACCAACCUUACACGUACGCUUACGUGAGACCGGUUCCACCGACUAACAUGCACUAGUUGCAUAAGGUGGCUGGCGGGUGUCUGUCUCUCCCACUUUAGUUGGAGCGGAUUCGAUGAAAAGGGUCCUUAUGAAGGGUAAAUAGAAGUUGACAAAAUCACGUUGUGGUUAUUCGUAGGUAAGAAAACGUUCUUGCUAGAACCCAAUUGCAGCGACGUGAAAGAUGCAACAACAAUUAGAGGACGUCUAACUUGUUUUUGCAGCAAUUGUCAUGUGAUGUGAUAUGGCCAGAAGUUGUGAUGAAUGAUGAAUGAUAUAUUGUGAUGUAUGAGAUCAUGUUCUUGUAAUAGGAAUCACGACUUGCAUGUCGAUGAGUAUGAAAACCGGCAGGAGCCAUAGGAGUUGUCUUUAUUUUUGUAUGACCUGCGUGUCAUUGAAGAAUGCCAUGUAAACUACUUUACUUUAUUGCUAAACGCGUUAGUCAUAGAAGUAGAAGUAGUCGUUGGCGUGACAACUUCAUGAAGACAUGAUGAUGGAGAUCAUGAUGAUGGAGAUCAUGGUGUCAUGCCGGUGACAAGAUGAUCAUGGAGCCCCGAAGAUGAAGAUCAAAGGAGCUAUAUGAUAUUGGCCAUAUCAUGUCACUACUUUAUAUAAUUGCAUGUGAUGUUUAUUAUGUUUUAUGCAUCUUGUUUACUUAGAACGACGGUAGUAAAUAAGAUGAUCCCUUGCAACAAUUUCAAGAAGUGUUCUCCCCUAACUGUGCACCGUUGCUAAAGUUCGUCGUUUCGAAGCACCACGUGAUGAUCGGGUGUGAUAGAUCCUUACGUUCACAUACAACGGGUGUAAGACAGUUUUACACAUGCAAAACACUUAGGGUUAACUUGACGAGCCUAGCAUGUACAGACAUGGCCUCGGAACACGGAGACCGAAAGGUCGAACACGAGUCGUAUGGAAGAUACGAUCAACAUGAGAAUGUUCACUGACGAUGACUAGUCCGUCUCACGUGAUGAUCGGACACGGCCUAGUCAACUCGGAUCGUGUAACACUUAGAUGACUGAGGGGAUGUCAAAUCUGAGUGGGAGUUCAUUAAAUAAUUUGAUUGGAUGAACUUAAUUAUCAUGAACUUAGUCUAAAAUCUUUGCAAAAUAUGUCUUGUAGAUCAAAUGGCCAACGCUCAUGUCAACAUGAACUUCAACGCGUUCCUAGAGAAAACCAAGCUGAAAGAUGAUGGCAGCAACUAUACGGACUGGGUCCGGAACCUUAGGAUCAUCCUCAUAGCUGCCAAGAAAGCAUAUGUCCUUGAAGCACCAUUAGGUGACCCACCUACUCUCCCAGCACUGCAAGACGAUUUGAACGUUUGGCAGACACGUGCUGAUGAUUACUCCCUCGUUCAGUGCGGCAUGCUUUACAGCUUAGAACCGGGGCUCCAAAAGCUUUUUGAGCAACACGGGGCAUAUGAGAUGUUCGAGGAGCUGAAACUAGUUUUCCAAGCUCAUGCCCGGGUCGAGAGAUAUGAAGUCUCCAACAAGUUCUAUAGUUGUAAGAUGGAGGAAAACAGUUCUGUCAGUGAGCAUAUACUCAAAAUGUCUGGGUUGCACAGCCGCCUGUCCCAGCUGGACAUUAACCUCCUGGAUGAGGCGGUCAUUGACAGAAUCCUUCAGUCGCUCCCACCAAGCUACAAGAGCUUUGUGAUGAACUAUAAUAUGCAGGGGAUGGUGAAGACCAUUCCUGAAGUAUUUUCAAUGCUGAAGUCGGCAGAGGUUGAAAUCAAGAAAGAACAUCAAGUGUUGAUGGUUAAUAAGACCACUAAGUUCAAGAAGGGCAAGGGUAAGAAGAACUUCAAGAAGGACGGCAAAGAUGUUGCCGCGCCCGGUAAGCCAGUUGCCGGGAAGAAGUCAAAGAAUGGACCCAAGCCUGAGACUGAGUGCUUUUAUUGCAAGGGGAAGGGUCACUGGAAGCGGAACUGCCCCAAAUACUUAGCGGAUAAGAAGGCCGGCAACAGUAAAGGUAUAUUUGAUAUACAUGUAAUUGAUGUGUACCUUACCAAUACUCGUAGUAACUCCUGGGUAUUUGAUACCGGUGCCGUUGCUCAUAUUUGUAACUCAUAGCAGGAGCUGCGGAAUAAGCGGAGACUGGCGAAGGACGAGGUGACGAUGCGCGUCGGGAAUGGUUCCAAGGUCGAUGUGAUCGCCGUCGGCACACUACCUCUACAUUUACCUACGGGAUUAGUUAUAAACCUUAAUAAUUGUUAUUUGGUGCCAAGUUUGAGCAUGAACAUUGUAUCUGGAUCUCGUUUGAUACGAGAUGGAUACUCAUUUAAAUCCGAGAAUAAUGGUUGUUCUAUUUAUAUGAGAGAUAUGUUUUAUGGUCAUGCCCCUAUGGUCAAUGGUUUAUUCUUAAUGAAUCUCGAGCGUAAUGUUACACAUAUUCAUAGCGUGAAUACCAAAAGAUGUAAAGUUGAUAACGAUAGUCCCACAUACUUGUGGCACUGCCGCCUUGGUCACAUUGGUGUCAAGCGCAUGAAGAAGCUCCAUGCUGAUGGACUUUUGGAGUCUCUCGAUUAUGAAUCAUUUGACACAUGCGAACCAUGCCUCAUGGGCAAAAUGACCAAGACUCCGUUCCCCGGAACAAUGGAGCGAGCAACCAACUUGUUGGAAAUCAUACACACCGAUGUGUGCGGUCCAAUGAGUGUUGAGGCUCGCGGAGGAUAUCGUUAUGUUCUCACUCUCACUGAUGACUUGAGUAGAUAUGGGUAUGUCUACUUGAUGAAACACAAGUCUGAGACCUUUGAAAAGUUCAAGGAAUUUCAGAAUGAAGUAGAGAAUCAACGUGACCGAAAGAUAAAAUUCUUACGAUCGGAUCGUGGAGGAGAAUAUUUAAGUCACGAAUUUGGUACACACUUAAGAAAAUGUGGAAUCGUUUCACAACUCACGCCGCCUAGAACACCUCAGCGAAACGGUGUGUCCGAACGUCGUAAUCGCACUCUAUUGGAUAUGGUGCGGCCUAUGAUGUCUCUUACCGAUUUACCGCUAUCAUUUUGGGGAUACGCUCUAGAGACAGCUACAUUCACUUUAAAUAGGGCACCGUCUAAAUCCGUUGAGACGACACCGUAUGAAUUAUGGUUUGGGAAGAAACCUAAGUUGUCGUUUCUAAAAGUUCGGGGAUGCGAUGCUUAUGUCAAGAAACUUCAACCUGAAAAGCUCGAACCCAAGUCGGAAAAAUGUGUCUUCAUAGGAUACCCUAAAGAAACCAUUGGGUAUACCUUCUACUUAAGAUCCGAGGGCAAGAUCUUUGUUGCCAAGAACGGAUCCUUUCUGGAAAAAGAGUUUCUCUCGAAAGAACUAAGUGGGAGGAAAGUAGAACUCGAUGAAGUACUACCUCUUGAACAGGAUAGUAGUGCAGCUCAGGAAAAUGUUCCUGUGAUGCCUACACCAACUGAAGAGGAAAAUAAUGAUGAUGAUCAAGGUACUUCUGAUCAAGUUACUACUGAACUUCGUAGGUCCACAAGGACACGUUCCGCACCAGAGUGGUACGGCAACCCUGUCCUGGAAAUCAUGUUGUUAGACAACCGUGAACCUUCGAACUAUGAAGAAGCGAUAGCGGGCCCAGAUUCCAACAAAUGGCUUGAAGCCAUGAAAUCCGAGAUAGAAUCCAUGUAUGAAAACAAAGUAUGGACUUUGACUGACUUGCCCGAUGAUCGGCGAGCGAUAGAAAACAAAUGGAUCUUUAAGAAGAAGACGGACGCGGAUGGUAAUGUCACCAUCUAUAAAGCUCGACUUGUCGCUAAGGGUUAUCGGCAAGUUCAAGGGAUUGACUACGAUGAGACUUUCUCUCCCGUAGCGAAGCUUAAGUCCGCCCGAAUCAUGUUAGCAAUUGCCGCAUACUAUGAUUAUGAGAUAUGGCAAAUGGACGUCAAAACGACAUUCCUUAACGGUUAUCUUAAGGAAGAGCUAUAUAUGAUGCAGCCGGAAGGUUUUGUCGAUCCUAAGAACGCUAACAAAGUAUGCAAGCUCCAGCGAUCCAUUUAUGGGCUGGUGCAAGCAUCUCGGAGUUGGAACAUUCGCUUUGAUGAGAUCAUCAAAGCGUUUGGGUUUAUGCAGACUUAUGGAGAAGCCUGCGUUUACAAGAAAGUGAGUGGGAGCUCUGUAGCGUUUCUCAUAUUAUAUGUAGAUGACAUACUUUUGAUGGGAAAUGAUAUAGAUUCUUGGACAGCAUUAAGGCCUACUUGAAUAAGUGUUUUUCAAUGAAGGACCUUGGAGAAGCUGCUUACAUAUUAGGCAUCAAGAUCUAUAGGGAUAGAUCGAGACGCCUCAUAGGUCUUUCACAAAGCACAUACCUUGAUAAGAUUUUGAAUAAGUUCAAAAUGGAUCAGUCCAAGAAAGGGUUCUUGCCUGUAUUGCAAGGUGUGAGAUUGAGCUCGGCUUAAUGCCCGACCAUGGCAAAAGAUAAAGAAGAGAUGAUCGUCAUCCCCUAUGCCUCAGCCAUAGGAUCUAUUAUGUAUGCCAUGCUAUGUACCAGACCUGAUGUAAACCUUGCCGUAAGUUUGGUAGGAAGGUACCAAAGUAAUCCCGGCAAGGAACACUGGACAGCGGUCAAGAAUAUCCUGAAGUACCUGAAAAGGACAAAGGACAUGUUUCUCGUUUAUGGAGGUGAUGAAGAGCUCGUCGUAAAGGGUUACGUCGAUGCUAGCUUCGACACAGAUCUGGAUGACUCUAAGUCACAAACCGAAUACGUGUAUAUGUUGAAUGGUGGAGCAGUAAGCUGGUGCAGCUGCAAGCAGAGCGUCGUGGCGGGAUCUACAUGUGAAGCGGAGUACAUGGCAGCCUCGGAGGCAUCGCAUGAAGCUAUUUGGGUGAAGGAGUUCAUCACCGACCUAGGAGUCAUACCCAAUGCGUCGGGGCCGAUCAAACUCUUCUGUGACAACACUGGAGCUAUUGCCCUUGCCAAGGAGCCCAGGUUUCACAAGAAGACCAGGCACAUCAAGCAUCGUUUCAACUCCAUCUGAGAAAAUGUUCAAGAUGGAGACAUAGAUAUUUGCAAAGUACAUACGGAUCUGAAUGUCGUAGAUCCGUUGACUAAACCUCUCUCGCGAGCAAAACAUGAUCAACACCAGAACUCUAUGGGUGUUCGAUUCAUCACAAUGUAACUAGAUUAUUGACUCUAGUGCAAGUGGGAGACUGUUGGAAAUAUGCCCUAGAGGCAAUAAUAAAAGGGUUAUUAUUAUAUUUCCUUGUUCAUGAUAAUUGUCUUCUAUUCAUGCUAUAAAUGUAUUAUCCGGAAAUCGUAAUACACGUGUGAAUACAUAGACCAUAACAUGUCCCUAGUGAGCCUCUAGUUGACUAGCUCGUUGGUCGACAGAUAGUCAUGGUUUCUGACUAUAGACAUUAGUUGUCAUUGACAACGGGAUCACAUCAUUAGGAGAAUGAUGUGAUGGACGAGACCCAAUCCUAAGCAUAGCACAAGAUCGUGUAGUUCGUUUUGCUAGAGCUUUUCCAAUGUCAAGUAUCUCUUCCUUAGACCAUGAGAUCGUGUAACUCCCGGAUACCGUAAGAGUGCUUUGGGUGUACCAAACGUCACAACGUAACUGGGUGACUAUAAAGGUGCACUACAGGUAUCUCCAAAAGUGUCUGUUGAUGCUAGCUUCGACACAGAUCUGGAUGACUCUAAGUCACAAACCGAAUACGUGUAUAUGUUGAAUGGUGGAGCAGUAAGCUGGUGCAGCUGCAAGCAGAGCGUCGUGGCGGGAUCUACAUGUGAAGCGGAGUACAUGGCAGCCUCGGAGGCAUCGCAUGAAGCUAUUUGGGUGAAGGAGUUCAUCACCGACCUAGGAGUCAUACCCAAUGCGUCAGGGCCGAUCAAACUCUUCUGUGACAACACUGGAGCUAUUGCCCUUGCCAAGGAGCCCAGGUUUCACAAGAAGACCAGGCACAUCAAGCAUCGUUUCAACUCCAUCUGAGAAAAUGUUCAAGAUGGAGACAUAGAUAUUUGCAAAGUACAUACGGAUCUGAAUGUCGUAGAUCCGUUGACUAAACCUCUCUCGCGAGCAAAACAUGAUCAACACCAGAACUCUAUGGGUGUUCGAUUCAUCACAAUGUAACUAGAUUAUUGACUCUAGUGCAAGUGGGAGACUGUUGGAAAUAUGCCCUAGAGGCAAUAAUAAAAGGGUUAUUAUUAUAUUUCCUUGUUCAUGAUAAUUGUCUUCUAUUCAUGCUAUAACUGUAUUAUCCGGAAAUCGUAAUACACGUGUGAAUACAUAGACCAUAACAUGUCCCUAGUGAGCCUCUAGUUGACUAGCUCAUUGGUCGACAGAUAGUCAUGGUUUCUGACUAUAGACAUUAGUUGUCAUUGACAACGGGAUCACAUCAUUAGGAGAAUGAUGUGAUGGACGAGACCCAAUCCUAAGCAUAGCACAAGAUCGUGUAGUUCGUUUUGCUAGAGCUUUUCCAAUGUCAAGUAUCUCUUCCUUAGACCAUGAGAUCGUGUAACUCCCGGAUACCGUAAGAGUGCUUUGGGUGUACCAAACGUCACAACGUAACUGGGUGACUAUAAAGGUGCACUACAGGUAUCUCCGAAAGUGUCUGUUGGGUUGACACGGAUCGAGACUGGGAUUUGUCACUCUGUAUGACGGAGAGGUAUCUCUGGGCCCACUCGGUAAUGCAUCAUCACAAUGAGCUCAAAGUGACCAAGUGUUUGUUCACGGGAUCAUGCAUUACGGUACGAGUAAAGUGACUUGCCGGUAACGAGACUGAACGAGGUAUUGGGAUACCGACGAUCGAGUCUCGGGCAUGUAACGUACCGAAUGACAAAGGGAAUUGUAUACGGGGUUUUUCUAAUCCUUGACAUCGUGGUUCAUCCGAUGAGAUCAUCGAGGAGCAUGUGGGAGAAAACAUGGGUAUCCAGAUCCCGCUGUUGGUUAUUGCCCGAGAGCCGUCUCGGUCAUCACUUCGUGUCUCCCGAACCCGUAGGGUCUACACACUUAAGGUUCGGUGAUGCUAGGGUUGUAUGAAUAUGAGUAUGCAGUAUACCGAAUGUUGUUCGGAGUCCCAGAUGAGAUCCCGGAUGUCACGAGGAGUUUCGGAAUGGUCCGGAGGUAAAGAAUUAUAUAUAGGAAGUGGUAUUUCGGCCAUCGGAAAAGUUUCGGGGUCACCCGGUAUUGUACCGGGACCACCGGAAGGGUCCCGGGGGUCCACCGGGUGGGGCCACCCAUCCUGGAGGGCCCCAUGGGCUGAUGUGGGAGGGGAGCCAGCCCAUAGUGGGCUGGUGCGCCCCCCUAGGCCCAUCCCCUGCGCCUAGGGUUGAAACCCUAGGGUGGGGGGGGGCACCACAUGCCUUGGGGGGCACUCCUCCCCCCUUGGCCGCCGCCCCCUUGGGAGAUUGAAUCUCCCAGGGCCGGCGCCCCCCCUUGGGGGCCUAUAUAAAGGGAGGGGGAGAGGGGCAGCCGCACCCUGAAGUCCUGGCGCCCCCUCCCCCUGCUACACCUCUUCCUCCUCUGUCACGUGCUUGGCGAAGCCCUGCCGGAGUGCUGCUGUUCCACCACCACCACGCCGUUGUGCUGCUGCUGGAGCCAUCAUCAUCAACCUCUCCUCCCCCCUUGCUGGAUCAAGAAGGAGGAGACGUCACACGCACCGUACGUGUGUUGAACGCGAAGGUGCCGUCCGUUCGGCGCUAGGAUCUCCGGUGAUCUGAAUCACGGCGAGUACGACUCCAUCAUCACCGCUCCCUCUAACGCGUCCGUACGCGAUCUACAAGUGGUAUGUAGAUGCAAACUCACUCUCUUGACUCGUUGCUUAGAUGAACUCAUAGAUGGAUCUUGGUGAAACCGUAGGAAAAAUUUUAAUUUUCUGCAACGUUCCCCAACAGUGCGUUGGCAAGGAAAAUCCGGUUGGAGUUGUUGCUUUUCGAGGUGACCGGUGUUUGUGGUGACGUGACUAGAUGAUUGGUUUAGGGCAGACCCUUUUGCUUGUGUUUGUAACUGUCGUGGUGGCUAAUCUGUUGAUUAGCUUCGGUGUGGAGUUGUGCUACACUUGUUGUUCGCAGCAAGAUGUAGUUUCUUGUACUUGAUUUCUGCCUUCUAUAAAAAUAUGGUACGCCUAGGCGUACUCUCGAAAAAAAAUAUGUCCUCAAGAUUAGAUCAAGUUACAUAAUCAUGUUGAAGUUAAAUCAUCUUGUUGAAUUAAAAAAUGAUAAUAUUUUUUGAUGUAUGUUGAAUCAAACCUCACUCAAAACGGUGGAGAACAGUUGAAUUGUUGAGAUAUGUGAAUAAUUAUUCCAACUAUAUUUGAAAAUCCAGCAAAUAAUAUGGAGCACUGGUAGAAAAAGAGGCUUCCGUCUAGCCCCAUUAGUCGCGAAACUGUAGGAACCGCGACUAAUGAAGUCUUUAGUCGCGGUUCGGCAGACGAACCGCGACCAAAGUCUUGGGCCAGGGCGCUCGGUGGCCAGCUGGUGCACGUGAGGGGCUUUAGUCGCGGUUGGGCAGGCCAACCGCGACUAAAGGUGCCCAAAGGCCUUUAGUCGCGGUUGGCCUGGCCAACCGCGACUAAAGCUCCUCCCCUAUAUAUACCAGUUCAGCGCACUCACUUAGCCAUUUGGUGCCACUUCUCUUCACAAGGGGGUGUAGGUUUGCUUUUGGUUCCUCUUAUGCACACAAGGUGUUUGAUGAAAUGCCCAACAGCGUGAAACAAACAUGAUAUGAAGUGUUGGAGCCACACUUGAGGUUCCUCCUCGAUCGCGGUUAGCAACUUGAACCUUUCAUGCAUGUGUGUCAUUGAUAAAAUAUGCAUGUGUGUUGUUCAUUGUUUAAUUUCUAUUGUUUAUAGCUAGUUACUUUAACAAAUGCAUGAUGGUUAAUUAUAUAUUUUAUAUUAUAAUAAUGCAGAUGAAUCGGCAAUGGAUGUACGGUAACCGACUCUCCCGCGAGUUCACUACGGGUUUGAAAGAUUUCCUCGUAGUGGCUAAUGCGAACAAGCAGAAGGGUUUUGUUAUCUGUCCUUGUGUUGACUGUAAGAAUCAGAAGGGUUACUCUUCCUCAAGAGAAGUUCACCUGCACCUGCUUCGGCACGGUUUCAUGCCAAGCUAUAAUUGUUGGACCAAGCAUGGAGAAAGAGGGGUUAUAAUGGAAGAAGAUGAAGAAGGGGAUGAUUUCAUCGAUGAAAGCUAUCUUGCUCAUUUCGGUGAUACUUUCAUGGAGGAUGCUGAAGGUGAAGGGGAAGGUGAAGGGGCAGGUGAAGGGGAAGGUGAAGGGGAAGGUGAAGGUGAAGGUGAAGAAGAGGCACGUGAUGAGACCGUUGAUGAUCUUGGUCGGACCAUUGCUGAUGCACGGAGACGCUGCGAAACUGAAAAGGAGAGGGAGAAUUUGGAUCGCAUGUUAGAGGAUCACAGAAAGUCGUUGUACCCUGGAUGCGAUGAUGGUCUGAAAAAGCUGGGCUGCACACUGGAUUUGCUGAAAUGGAAGGCACAGGCAGGUGUAGCUGACUCGGCAUUUGAAAACUUGCUGAAAAUGUUGAAGAAUAUGUUUCCAAAGAAUAACGAGUUGCCCGCCAGUAUGUACGAAGCAAAGAAGGUUGUCUGCCCUCUAGGUUUAGAGGUUUUGAAGAUACAUGCAUGCAUCAACGACUGCAUCCUCUACCCGCGGUGAAUACGAGAAUUUGAAUGAAUGCCCGGUAUGCACUGCAUUGCGUUAUAAGAUCAGAGGCGAUGACCCUGGUGACGAUGUUGAGGGCGGGAAACCCAGGAAGAGGGUUCCCGCCAAGGUGAUGUGGUAUACUCCUAUAAUACCACGGUUGAAACGUCUGUUCAGGAACAAAGAGCAUGCCAAGUUGUUGCGAUGGCACAAAGAGGACCGUAAGUCGGACGGGGAGUUGAGACACACCGCAGAUGGAACGCAAUGGAGAAAGAUCGACAGAGAGUUCAAAGAUUUUGCAGCUGACGCAAGGAACAUAAGAUUUGGUCUAAGUACAGAUGGCAUGAAUCCUUUUGGCGAGCAGAGCUCCAGCCAUAGCACCUGGCCCGUGACUCUAUGCAUCUACAACCUUCCUCCUUGGUUGUGCAUGAAGCAGAAGUUCAUUAUGAUGCCAGUGCUCAUCCAAGGUCCGAAGCAACCCGGCAACGACAUCGAUGUGUACCUAAGGCCAUUAGUUGAUGAACUUUUACAGCUGUGUGGCAGACCUGGUGUUCGUGUGUGGGAUGAGCACAAAAAAGAGGAAUUUAACCUACGAGCGUUGCUUUUCGUAACCAUCAAUGAUUGGCCUGCUCUUAGUAACCUUUCGGGACUGUCAAAUAAGGGAUACAAUGCAUGCACGCACUGCUUACAUGAGACUGAAAGUGUACAUUUGCCAAAUUGUAAGAAGAACGUGUACCUUGGGCAUCGUCGAUUUCUUCCGAAAAUUCAUCCAGUAAGAAAGAAAGGCAAGCAUUACAACGGCAAGGCAGAUCACCGGCCGAAGCCUGCGGAACGCACUGGUGCUGAGGUAUUUGAUAUGGUCAAGGAUUUGAAAGUCAUCUUUGGAAAGGGUCCUGGCGGACAAUCAGUUCCGAAGGGAGCUGACGGGCACGCAGCCAUGUGGAAGAAGAAAUCUAUAUUCUGGGAGCUAGAAUAUUGGAAAGUCCUAGAAGUCUGCUCUGCAAUCGACGUGAUGCACGUUACGAAGAAUAUUUGCGUGAACCUCCUAAGCUUCUUGGGCGUGUAUGGGAAGACAAAUGAUACAAAGGAAGCACGGCAGGACCAGCAAUGUUUGAAAGACCCUGAUGACCAGCAUCCGGAAUGGUUUCAAGGUCGUGCCAGCUACGCUCUGACCAAAGAAGAGAAGGUCAUCUUUUUUGAAUGCCUGAGCAGUAUGAAGGUCCCGUCUGGAUUCUCGUCCAAUAUAAAGGGAAUAAUAAACAUGGCGGAGAAAAGUUCCAAAACCUGAAGUCUCACGACUGCCACGUGAUUAUGACGCAAUUGCUUCCGAUUGCUUUGAGGGGGCUCCUGCCGGAAAAUGUUCGAGUAGACAUUGUGAAGCUAUGUGCAUUCCUCAAUGCAAUCUCUCAGAAGGUAAUCAAUCCAGAAGAUCUACCACGGUUACAGAACGAUGUGAUCCAAUGUCUUGUCAGUUUCGAGUUGGUGUUCCCGCCAUCCUUCUUCAAUAUUAUGACGCACCUCUUGGUUCACCUAGUCGAAGAGAUUUUCAUUCUCGGUCCUGUAUUUCUACACAAUAUGUUCCCAUUCGAGAGGUUCAUGGGAGUAUUAAAGAAAUAUGUUCGUAACCGUGCUAGGCCAGAAGGAAGCAUCGCCAAGGGCUAUGGAAAUGAGGAGGUAAUUGAGUUUUGUGUUGACUUUGUUCCUGACCUUAAGCCGAUUGGUCUUCCUCGAUCGCGGCACGAGGGGAGACUAAGUGGAAAAGGCACGAUCGGAAGGAAAUCAACGACAUGUAUGGACGGCCAUUCUCUGACUGAAGCACACCACACUGUACUGACCAAUUCCAGCUUGGUGGCUCCGUACUUUGAGAAACACAAGAAUAUUUUACGCUCGGACAACCCGGGGAAGCCUGAAUCCUGGAUUAGGAAGGCCCACAUGGAGACUUUCGGCAGUUGGUUGAGAAAACAUUUAAUGAAUGACAAUGAUGUUGUAGAUCAGCUGUACAUGUUGGCCAAGACACCAUCUUCGACUAUAACGACUUUCCAAGGGUACGAGAUAAAUGGGAAUACAUUUUACACGAUCGCCNNNNNNNNNNNNNNNNNNNNNNNNNNNNNNNNNNNNNNNNNNNNNNNNNNNNNNNNNNNNNNNNNNNNNNNNNNNNNNNNNNNNNNNNNNNNNNNNNNNNNNNNNNNNNNNNNNNNNNNNNNNNNNNNNNNNNNNNNNNNNNNNNNNNNNNNNNNNNNNNNNNNNNNNNNNNNNNNNNNNNNNNNNNNNNNNNNNNNNNNNNNNNNNNNNNNNNNNNNNNNNNNNNNNNNNNNNNNNNNNNNNNNNNNNNNNNNNNNNNNNNNNNNNNNNNNNNNNNNNNNNNNNNNNNNNNNNNNNNNNNNNNNNNNNNNNNNNNNNNNNNNNNNNNNNNNNNNNNNNNNNNNNNNNNNNNNNNNNNNNNNNNNNNNNNNNNNNNNNNNNNNNNNNNNNNNNNNNNNNNNNNNNNNNNNNNNNNNNNNNNNNNNNNNNNNNNNNNNNNNNNNNNNNNNNNNNNNNNNNNNNNNNNNNNNNNNNNNNNNNNNNNNNNNNNNNNNNNNNNNNNNNNNNNNNNNNNNNNNNNNNNNNNNNNNNNNNNNNNNNNNNNNNNNNNNNNNNNNNNNNNNNNNNNNNNNNNNNNNNNNNNNNNNNNNNNNNNNNNNNNNNNNNNNNNNNNNNNNNNNNNNNNNNNNNNNNNNNNNNNNNNNNNNNNNNNNNNNNNNNNNNNNNNNNNNNNNNNNNNNNNNNNNNNNNNNNNNNNNNNNNNNNNNNNNNNNNNNNNNNNNNNNNNNNNNNNNNNNNNNNNNNNNNNNNNNNNNNNNNNNNNNNNNNNNNNNNNNNNNNNNNNNNNNNNNNNNNNNNNNNNNNNNNNNNNNNNNNNNNNNNNNNNNNNNNNNNNNNNNNNNNNNNNNNNNNNNNNNNNNNNNNNNNNNNNNNNNNNNNNNNNNNNNNNNNNNNNNNNNNNNNNNNNNNNNNNNNNNNNNNNNNNNNNNNNNNNNNNNNNNNNNNNNNNNNNNNNNNNNNNNNNNNNNNNNNNNNNNNNNNNNNNNNNNNNNNNNNNNNNNNNNNNNNNNNNNNNNNNNNNNNNNNNNNNNNNNNNNNNNNNNNNNNNNNNNNNNNNNNNNNNNNNNNNNNNNNNNNNNNNNNNNNNNNNNNNNNNNNNNNNNNNNNNNNNNNNNNNNNNNNNNNNNNNNNNNNNNNNNNNNNNNNNNNNNNNNNNNNNNNNNNNNNNNNNNNNNNNNNNNNNNNNNNNNNNNNNNNNNNNNNNNNNNNNNNNNAAAUAACUUAAAACUUGAUAAUUAACAAAAAAACCGUAAAAUUUGAUAAUUAACAAAAAAAACGUAUAUACGGAGAGGGGGCGGCGAGGGGGGCGGCGAUGCGCGCGGUGUUUUUUUAGGGAUCGAGAGGGGACGGCGAGGGUUAUAAAUGUGUUGUCCUCGCCUCCCUCUCCGUGACGCCGUCGUCUGCCUCCCCGUCUCGCGCUCUACCGCGACACCCUCUCCCACCCCUUCCUCGCCCCCUCCUUUUGCCACUGCCCUUUCGCCACCGCCACCGCCACCGCCCCCCUUCUUCACUUAAUUAAUUUGUUUUUACUACAUGUUUUCAGGACUGACAUAAUGGCGGACGAUAGAGCUGACCCGAUUAUGGACAACUAUGAUCCGGACGGUGAAGCACAUAUGUUCGGCAUCAUAAACGGCGAUAUUCUAUAUGUGCCGACCGGACAAGAAGAAGAUGAUAUCUCUUCUUAUCUGAACCUUGACGGUGAAGAUGAAGGGCGCCGUCAGCAAGAUGAUGCCGAACAAACGUCGAUAAACGACGAUCUUCAAAUGGAAGUAGCAACCACCUCCGGCGCCGAGGUAUAUAUAUAUACAUUGAGCCUCUGGUGAUACAAACUAACUGAUUUGAAUAAAUAUGUUUGGACUAACGCGCGCGACUCUCUUUCUUAUUUUAGCCCUCGGCCGGAUCGUCGAAACAAUCGAGUACGUCGUCAAAGCGUGGCGCAACCAAGACGAUGAAACAAGGAGAAACAUGCACCAUCGAGGUUGUCGACAGUGCAACCGGCAGGCCGCUGGAGCCCCGCAAGAACGCCACCAAGUUUGUCAACCAAUGCGGAGCCAUUGUUAGAGACAACGUCUCGAUCACCGUCCAGGAGUGGAAUAAGCCAAAGAAGGCACGAAUUGCUGGUUUCACUUUCGUCGAUAAGAGAACAAAAAGAGAUUGCUUCAAAAAGCUUAUGGAACAUUUCGUUCUACCUCCGGAAUACAACAAAUUCGAUGAGGAGGGUAACAAGAUUGAGGAAAACAAGGAGAGGAGGAGGCUAGUCAAACAGUUCGCUCUUCAUAAGAUGGCCGACGCAUUCCGGAAAUUCAAGCAAAAUCUAGCCCAUGACUUUGUCAAGCAGAACAAGACUCCGGAUUUCAAAGGACAAUAUGAGAAACUGAAACAUGAUUGCCCAGAAUUUGUGAAGCAAAAGAAAUCGGAGCAGUUCAUUCAAAUAUCGAAAAAAAUAAGGAAAAUGCGGCUAAGAAGGAGUACAAUCAUAUUAUGGGGCCAGGAGGGUAUCGCCUUUGGGAGCCUAGGUGGGAGAAGAUGGAGAACGAGCUGAGAGCGCGAGGAAUCCGUCCAGGUACGGAGGGAUGGGACCCAAGGGCCAAAAGCUGGUGGUACGGGCAUGGGGGAACGCUGAACCCGGAGACAGGGGACUGUGUUUACCGGGGCAAAAUAAUUAAACCCACCCAAGCCCUUAUUGACGCAAUGAGGGAUGCUCAAGAGGGGAAGAUCAAGUUCAACAGAGAGAACGACGCACUGACAAAAGCCCUCGGGAAUCCUGAACACGGAGGACGUGUACGAGGCAUGGGGCACAUUCCGUGGAAAAUAGGGUUCCCCCAGAAUGAUGACCCGUACGGUUACAGAAGCCGGAAGAGAAAGAUGGAUCGGGAAGCAGAUGUUGUGGCGCGGUUGGCAUCGGAAAUGGAUGUGAUGAAGAAAACCGUGAGUGUACUAGUAGCCGAACGAGAUGCAGCUCGGGCGCAGCAUGAAGAUCAUCCAGCGGAUCUCAGAAGCCAGCAGCGGAGAAGCAGUGUGGCUUCCACGGAGGCCCCACCGGCUGGUGCAGAUGCACCGACGAUCGAAAUUACUGCACCUGAGCCUCUGGUGGUCGAAAUUACUGCACCGGAGCCUCUGGUGGUCGAAAUUACUGCACCGGAGCCUCCUCGCUACCCCGUGGAUGAUAUAAAGGAGAUGAAAGAAUGUCAUCUGUAUUAUCCUAUCGGGAACAUGUCCGUGAAGGUAGCCAUCGGCAGUGCUUUACCAUGUUUACCUGGAGCACUCCACCACAACACCCCCAUUCAAGAUGGCUAUGCUCGUGUCACGGUGGAGGACAUAGUCCAAGGGUUUGAGGACCUGGAGAUUGACAUUGCUACACCUGAAGGGGAGAAAAGACUUGGAGAUGUCAAGCGCCAUUUCAUUCUAUGGCAAAAGAAGUUUAUCAAGUUUCCAGGCGAGGCGCCAAGGACAACAAGUCCACCCCCCUACGGUGGUGGCGGUUCACCUACACCUCCGUCACGUCAGCCGACGCCCCCCAGUCCACAACGUCCGGCGGGUGAUCAGACGCCGCCCCCCAGUCCUCGUCCGGCGGGUGAUCAGACGCCGCCCCCCAAUCCACCUCCGGCAAAGAAGCAGAAGCAGUCCUGGAUUAUUUACCCGGACCCUUAUGUACCUAAGACCACAAAGGUACCGGAGCCAUCAUUGAAGCCUCUCCCCACAAGGCCUUGGGAACGUAGUGCCGAGGAAACUGCCGCGGCCGCGGCUGCUGAUCAUGAGAAAUGGAAGGCGGACUGCAAGAAGAAAAGAGAGCCCGAGCCCAAGCCAGUAUUUUCUGAUGAGCAAAAGAAGUGGGCUAAGUCAUUUUUGAGCACACCGUCCCAAGCCGCGAAGAAUCUGCCUGACGACUAUGCACGUGAACUUCGUAGGCAGGCACUCAUGUUGAAGGAGAAGAAAGAGCGGGCGGAGAACCAGGAGAACAAAGCCUUGGAGGAGGCCGAGAAAACGGAAUUAGAAAGUAAAAAAAGCGGGAAACGAGUUGCCCAGCUCGGGGAACAAAGUAAACAAUCGAUUGCCCCGCUUAUAGUGAAAGCCGCCGGUCCGGAUGACCCCGAUAUCAUAGCAGCUGCGGCAGCACAUGGAUUGACUGUAACGAGUGCCAGAGAACAAGCGGCCAACUUAGGUAUUACUCUUCGUGAACUGUUAGGCCUUGAUGAGGCACCAGUGAAGGAGGUAGUAAUUACAUAUGUGAAAAAUGGGCCUCUCGUCGAGCCUGCGCAGGAACAGGAUCUACCUCCACAAAUGAAAGGUCUGCUGAAAUGGUACAAGGGUUACAUAAAAAAUAAAAACGCCAAAGAAUAUAUUUAUGCGGAAGUUAGAUAUGAGCAUCACUUCAAACAUUACUAUGUACAAAUUCAUCUGAGUGAAUUGUUCCAGCUUUUCAAUCUGCGCGAGCUCGACAAAUCUAUCAUCAGUUGCUACGUUCUGUAAGUGAUUUAUUUCUACCCCAUCUCGUUCAUAUUGCCUGCACUAUAUAUAUGUCCUAACUAUAUUGUUGUGUCCGCUAUUAUACAUGCAGAAUGAAGAUUAAGGAAUGCAGAGUAAGGAACAUCCAUAAUGUUGGGUUCAUUGACCCACACAUCGUUAAUGGAUAUGUGUUGGAGCAUCACCCCGCCGACAUGGAGGCAGACCUGUGGCAGUUUCUUACAAAGCAGGAACUCAAAAGUGAUAUUCUAUUUCCUUACCAUUUUGGGUGAGUGUUUCUGUCUUGAGCACAUUCUCUUUUGUUUACUCCAUGCAUGGUAUGUGGCCGGCUAAUCGAUGAGUUAUGCAUGACGUACUGUGCAUGUAUCGUGUCCGCAGGUUCCACUGGAUUCUGCUAGUAAUUAAAGUUGACACCUCAGAAUGUCUCGUCCACGACUCUCUGAAUAAGGAUCCAAAGCUUUGGGUCGACAUGAGAAGAAUGCUGCAGAAAUAAUUAUUUUCAUUCAUUUGCGCUCUAUAUCGAUCGGCCUAUUUCGUUCAUUUCCUAAUAUCAAGUAACUAAUAACUCUCUUGUUCAUUUAAUUUUCUUUGCCUCGUAGGGUUUGGAGACGGUUCGUAGAUACAAAGGUCGGUGAAUUCAAAAAAGAGCUAGAAUUCAAAAGGGCAAAGGCUAAGAAUGGUGAGGAUAUUCAGCCAGCGGGGACCAAUCUAUGUGCAUACUAUGUCUGUGAGAUGAUCCGGAGAUACACCUCUGAGCGGGUUCCGAGUGAUACCAAUGCUCAGAGGAAUAACCUCCGGAUGAUGCUUAGUCCAGAAGCUCGCUUCCGACCACUUCAAGAGGAACUUGCUGGAUGGUUCAGGAGGGAAGUCCUCCAUCCUAAAGGAGAACACCAUUACGAGGACGUAGAACUUUAUAUGCAUUAAAUUAUGUAUGGAAACUUGUUCAAAAUUGUAUAUGGUCAUCCGAUGAUAUUGAAUAUAUAUUGUAUAUUCCUCUUGAAUUCUUUUUGGUUCUAAUUUCAAAUUUGUUUGAAAUUGUACAUUCAUAUGCAUGUAUGUAGUACCGUAGAAUAUGUGAAACUCCUUCAAAAUUAAAAUAAAGCACAAAAGAAAUAAAACAAUACAUAUUAAACAGAAAACAGGUUUAAGGGGGGAGGGGGGGCUAAAACCCUAAACCUGCGGCGGCCUUUAGUCGCGGUUGGCCAGAAGAACCACGACUAAAGGUCCUCCGCCCCGACGGCCACCUGGCGCCCACGUGGACGGGCCUUUAGUCGCGGUUCUUAAGCAACCGCGACUAAAGGGUGGGGCCUUUAGUCGCGCCCGUUCGGUCGCGGUUGCGCAACCGCGACUAAUGGCAGUUGCGAACCGCGACCAAAGGCCCUUUUCCCACCAGUGGAGUGAAAAUAAGAAAAAAACAAAUGGGAAAAACCAAAUGUGGCCAUGGAAAAAAAAACUGGCGCUCUAACAAAUGACGAGAUAAGGGAGGCAGAAGAAAAACCAAAUGUGGAUCGAACACGCGACCUUCAGAUCUUCAGUCUGACGCUCUCCCAAGUGAACUAUCCCCGCUUGAUGUUAUUUCAGUUAGUUCCAAUUCUCUUUUUUUGAUUUCUGACUCACUUCAUAUUUGACUCUACACUAACGCUCUUCAAACUAACAUAAGGCCUCAGAAUCUCCACGUAGCAGCGAUCAGUAAAUGUAUUAUAUUACGCAUCUCGUACAACCGUAGCAUAGACUUCUCAACAUAUUUUUAUACGUACUUGAUGAUGUUCUUUCUUUACAUGGAAGAAGGAAAUCCAUGAUCUAUGGAACAAUCCAUGAUCUAUGGAUCACCAGCGGCAGUGCCGCGCAGCACGGAUGGAGAUGGAGGUCCAAGCUCUUAUUGGCGGCGCAGUGGUAGUACAGUGUGAGCACCAUCCCGCCACAGCUGCCGCAUGUCUUGCCACUGCAGCGCGGGUGCUCGUGGCAGAGCUGGAACUCCUUGCCCUUGAACAAUGGGUGCACCAGCAUGCCCUCUGCGAGGGCACAGUCAUUGUGGAGGUCGGAGUCACAGGGUUGGCACGUGUACAUGUCCCCGGCGCCUAGAUCCAUGCAGACGUUGCACUGGAACUCCGCGGCGCCGGUGGCCAUCAGCGCUCCCGGCGGGCGGGGUGGGACGUGGGAGAUUUCCGCAGGAUGUGGCAAGGUUGUCAAAAAACGGUAUUUUCCUUUUUCGGAGGCGGACGUUUUAAAUUGGAUGUAUAUACUACUGGAAUUAUGAUGUACACCGGGUGUCAUGUUCUUCGCCGAGUACCAAAACACGGACACUCGACAAAGAAAAUAACAACGAGAGUCACUUUUGGCAAACCUAGCUUUACGACAAACUGCCUUCUUUGCCGUCACUGCCUCGCGGCAAAGAGGCACCGCACGGCAAACCCUACAGACGUCGAGAGCUGCUCACGACAAAGAGGAGCCACGUGACAUGCCCGUCCGAAACACGACUCCGUCGGUUACUGUGUAUAUCACCGAGAGCGACACUCGGCAAACUAUAUGCCACAUCCUAUUUUCUUUUUUGAGUGUGUUCUUUCUAACUGACAUGUGAUCCCACUGGUCACAUUUAUCAAUAAAAGUUUCAAAUAAUUUGCUAAAUAUUUUUGAACAAAAAUGACGAUAUCUUUCCCGAGAGCUGCUCUCAGCAAUUCUCCUGACCAGUAAGAUAGCGUGGCCACAUGGCAGCUGACAGUUUACAUAUCUUUGUCGAGAGUUGGUCUCGGCAAUGCUCGCCAUCUUUUUCGAGAGCUGCUCUCGGAAAAGGUAUGGCACAACAGUAGUGUCUCCCAGACGACCAAUUUUCUGAGAGGAGCUCUCGGUAGUAUAUCGUUUUCCGAGUGUAGCUCUUGGAAAUCUUUCCCAUCCAUUCUACUGUUAAGCUAUUUCUUUUCUGAUCCCUGCAGAUGAAAACAACUACAGUGCAAUUUGGAGUAGUCCACACAUAUAUAGGCAUAAUUUGAUCUACUCCAUAUAUAUAUACAUACAUAUAUAUAUAUAUAAUUAGGGAUAGUCCACAUAUUAUCACACACAAAUCGAAUGUAGUAUCCUAGUAGAUGUCACACACAAGUCGUAAAUUUAUAUAUAUUGUCACUACUUGCAAAACAUGUGCACGUUACAAUAGAAGUACACUUAUUCAUAUAUAGAUCAGCUUGAGGAGGAGAGGCCAUCGGGUUAACAUUCCAGAGGAGGAGGGGCAUCACUUGCACUGCUUCGAGAUUGCAUAAGAACCUAUAAGAGUAGAGUCACGUGAGGAUGGUUCGUCCCUAUGUAAUGAAUCUUCUACUCUAGUUUAGAUAAUGUUCUACCUGUAGUUGAUUCUCAAGUAGCUUCAACCUAUUGUUAGUGUCUUCUCGUUCCUUUUCUUUGGACUCCUCAGCCUUCCGCCUUUGCUCCUCUUCAACAGCCUGCUGCUUCAUUAAAUUCUGUAACAUGGCAUUAGGCUCAUAUAGGUUGGACCGGUGCUAUUUCGAGGCAUGGACAUAAAUGAAAGGUUAGAAUGCUAACCUUGAGACUUGUGGUGCAUCUAUCUCGCAGCGCCGUGAAUGAUGUGAUCUUCAGUGACGUGGAGGUUUCAGGAGGUAUUGCUGUCUACACCUACAAAGAAGAGAAUGUUGACAGAUUUUGCCGUGUAACCGUGCCACUGUUCAACUCUGAAUAUAGUAUGUUGUCUGAACAAGUUAGCAGGAGCAUAGUCUGCACCAGAGGAUUUGGCAAAUAACUUCAGAAUUUUUAAUUGAACAUGGAUAUAUUAUUCUUGGAAGGAAAGUCUACACCAGUAGAUAUUGUGAUCUUCAAGGAUAACCCAACAUUUUAGGUGCUCUACAAGGAAUGGAUAUGAGAACGUUGCAGCGUCACAAUAGUCAAGAACCUCCACAGAAGGGUUCCAAUACUCAAGGUUUAUUUCUAGUGCUUCUUUUUUCCAGUGUAAAGAAGGGAGUAACCACAGUUUCCCCAAUUGUUGAAUCACAGAUGUAUCACCACAUAAACAGAGCAUAUGACAAGUUCAAAAUUCGAGUGCAAAACAUAUGUUCUUGUGCAACACAAAACGUCCGAAGUUUAAGCGCACAAACAUCGGCAACUCGAUUGCAACUACUUUCACUGAAUAAUGUAUCUCUCAUAACAGUAAAAAAACUAUUUCCUAGCCCAAAAAGAUGUUUUCUCGGAUCACAAUCGAUACCCCUACUUUAUGGCUGAAAACCCUUCUUUAUCACCCAAAACCCUAGCUUUAUUACGCCGCCCAAACUUACCAAACCCUGUUCUGACUUGAAUCCGACCGAUCAUCACAACAUUACAUCCCACCGGUGAUUUCCGCGGUGGUGCAGAAGAAUAGAGGCGGAGGGGAUUUCGAGAACUUGUCAUAAUCCGGAGGGAAGAUCCUGUGCGGGCGGACAAGAUGCACGGAGACGGCGGCUCCAUACCGCUGCUGAUCACCGAUGACGUCGCCAAGAGGAGGCGGACAUCAUCAAGGGAACGUCGACACGACGAGUUCUCCGAUAGAGGAGGCAAAGAGAUGUGUUAGAAGUGAGUGCUUUGAUUUAAUUCAAUUUUUUUUUAAUCUCCACCGAUGUGCUCGAGUUGGAGUGCAGUUUUCCCCCCGCAAAACGCAAUGACCGGCUUGGCCCCUCCGCCGCUAACGUGCCGCUAGAUGUCGCGUGCUGAUUGGCUCGACUAAUUUGCACAUCGGCAACAAGUUCCUGGGUGGCAGGGCGAGCAAUCGCAAGUUGUGUCACCGGCCAGAGUCCAGACAGUUUGUGGGUGUGCAGUGUUGUUACAUCUUUUUUAUGUUUUUUUAGAAUCAUCUUUUUUAUGUGAGAGGCUUUCACAAAUCUCUAAAUAAAUAAAGGACGCGUCUAGUGGGCGGCCGGCUGCCCACUAGCGCGAUCGAGCAGCUGGCCAUAAAAAGCAACUUCCUGUCCCCCACGUGGUACAGAAAAAGCAGGAUCGAGCUGCCACCAAACCGAGUGAUUCCAGCGCCCAAUCCCGAACAAAAAGCGACCCCCCCACGUGGCCAGCUGUCCACAAACUCGCUCGCCCCCACGUCCCAACCCCUCCCACGCCCGCUCGCCCAGGCAAUCCCACGCUGCUUUCUUGACCUGCAGGAAAGAAAGGGAUCCAAAGCUCCUUCUUCCUCCUCCUAUAUAGCCGCCAUGGGAGCAGAAAGAUAGAUGAAUCUGCUUCAACAAAUUGAUCUAAAAUGCAGGGUGAUCAGACCCAUACCAGGCAACAAACAUCAGGCAAGUACUUCCUCUCUAACCCUCUUCAGUUGUCCCCUUUCUUGUACUGCAUCUAUAAAACACCCUCCUCCAUGGAUCCAUCAGCAAAUCCAUGAAGAAUCUGCUUCAAAAAAAGAGUACAUUUGAAACAUCACCUUAUUGUGAACAUCACACCGGCCGCACCCCCCCCCCAUGAGUGCAUCUGCACACUAACUUAGGGUUCCCAGAUCGAAACUGAACGUGUUUUUCUAAACAUGCAUGCUAAGCAAGUUUACCCUGCCCCUUUUAUGUGUUCAACAAGUCAACUAAGACAUAUUUACUGGCCAACAAAUACAUGAUUCUAGCCAACUGAACAUGCAUGCUUGCCAACUAGAUAUAUGCAUCCUGGCCAACUGAAACGUCUAUUCUAGCCAGCUGAACACAUUGACUGUGCAACGGAACAUGCAUGCUGGCCAACUGAUAUAUGCAUCCUAGCCAAUUGAAAUGUCUAUUCUAGCUAGCUAAACACAUUGACUGUGCAACAGAACAUGCAUCCUGGCCAAGCUGAUAUAUGCAUCCUGGCCAACUGAAAUGUCUAUUCUAGCCAGCUAAAUACAUUGGUUGUGCAACAGAACAUGCAUUCUGGCCAAAAUGAUAUAUGGAUCCAUGAAAAUUCAAACAUCUAUUUUAGCCAACUAAACACAUUGGCUGUGCAACUGAACAUGCAUGCUGACCAACUGAUAUAUGCAUCCUAGGAAAAUUGAAACAUCUAUUCUAUCCAACUGAAUACAUGGACUGUGCAACUGAAUAUGCAUGCUGGCCAACUGAUAUAUGCAUCCUGGGAAAUUGAAACAUCUAUUCUAGCAAAAUUGAACACAUUGACUGUCAAACAAAACUUGCAUGCUGGCCAACUGAUAUAUGCAUCCUGGCCAACUCAAAGAUCUAUUCUAGCCAAAACCAAAAAACUGCAGUACGGCAACUUCUGCAGCAAUAUGUGCAACAGAUAAAUAAACAAGGUUAUUGAAGCCAUAAAACCACAUUAAAGUAGUCACACAUAUAUUCUGGUAGCACACCUAUUGCAAAGCUAUAGUGUAAAAAUAUGUUCAAAUAUACUGAAAGUAGAAACAGAAACGGCGACGAAAAACAUAUAUCUAUAGUCUGUCAUCAAAUUCUUCUUUCUUCUUUCACCUGGAUUUUGCAUCUGAAAAAGUAGCAUCAAAUUGUGUCCCUAUUAUGUGCAGCAAAAUUUGAAUAAGCUCCUUGCCAACGGAACCCUGCGGAUCAUUGCAAUAAAAGCAGAGGAAAAAGUCAGAAAACUCUAUGGCAAAAAGAAGUCAAGUUCUUGCCAACUAUUUACUACAAACUGUGCAACUAACAUAACAACUCUGUGCAAAAACAAAAAAUGCAUGCAUGUUAUAAUAAAAGAUUCUGCUACAGACAUGUUGCUUUUGGAACUAAGAUUGUCAUAAAAUGGUGUGCAACUGCCUAUUUACUAAGUUUUUUGGUUGUUUGAAACACUCUUUUCUAUGAUUAACAACUGAUGACAUCACUUUCUUCUUUUUUAUAUGUGCAGUGAGUGUGUGGCAGCAUCCAAAAAAAGGAAAAAAAUGCUUGUUUUCAAUGAGCUUCCUCAUGAUACGGAUCAGCAGCAACCCAGCAUACCACAAGGAAACUGGACAGAAAAUGUACGAUCUGUUUACUACACACAGGCUAGUCAUGGUGGAAACCCUAUGGGCCAUGACAAUGUGGUAGACCAACCAUCAACCCGUGGUGCCCCUGUAGUGGUGUCUUUGCAGUCAGAGAGCCAUACUCUAGAUGACAUGGGAACCGAGGCAAAUGUUCCUCAUCCAACCAGGACUGAGCUAGGAGCUGGGGCUGUUGACGGAGCUGUGCAAGAAGAAGAAGGAGAGGAUGAGGCUGGUUCUCAACGUAUGGAACCCUAUGUUGGCACGAGGUUUGACAGCCUUCAAAUUGCUAAGGAUCACUACAACAGCUACGCACUACGGAUGGAUUUCUCUAUCAAUAUGAACACAUCUAGACGGACACCCCGCACCAAUGAAUUGAUAAAACAACAGUUUUGCUGCAACAAGUUCAAGAAGCCCAAAGCUGAUGAUGGAGGAGCUGAGGCUCCUCCUGUUUUGGACCCUAUUCCAGAUCCAAAAUCUGUUGACAGUGAUGAGGAGAUGAAAGAAGAACCUCCAAUAUUUGCUGAAGAGGAGGCUGGUACUAGUAAGAAGAAGAAGAAGCGCAAACGUGAGACAAUAAAGCAGACUCAGUGCAAAGCAAAAAUGUUGGUGAAGCUGAUAGAUGGGCGAUGAGAGGUGACACACUUUGUUCGUGACCACAAUCAUCCGCUCGUGAACAAACCUUCAUUGUCCAAAUACUUGAGAUCCCACCAAGGCAUCUCACCUGAUGAAAAGGAGUUUCUGCGCAUCUUGUAUAACUGCAACUUGACUACAGGUGUGGUGUUUUUCUAUAUCCCUUAAAGAAUUAAGUUUUCCUCUAGGCAGUCUAGUGUGCAACUUUUAUGGUAGUACUGUGCAACUGAAAUGACUUAACUGUGCAACUGGUGUCCAACUGGUGUGCCACUGAAAUGACUUCACUUUUGGUGCUUGUUGUGCAACUAGAUUGUCUUUACUGUGCAACUAGACGAUGUCAUGUAUGCAAAAAGUGCAAAAGUGUUUUUAAAAAGAUGCAGCUAGGUGUCCAUUUCCUGCGAUUAUCUUUUGUGCCAACACAUUUCCUAUUACUGUGCAGCUGGAUGUGCGCAUUCGUGCAACUAAAAGAAGGAUAUACUAUUUUUUUGUAUUAUGCAGGACGUAUGAUGCAUGUAAUGGCAGAGUUUUAUGGAUCUAAGAUGAUGGUGCCAUUCGGACCAAAGGCAAUAACUAAUAUUUGUACAAGUUUCUGUAAAGAUGACACAAAGGAGGGUGAUCUGAUUGAGACAAUUGCGCACUUCAAGGAUAUUAAAAAACCGAUCCAGACUUCUUCUAUAAGGUGAAAUAUGAUGAAGAGGACAGAGUUGUCAACAUAUUUUGGGUGGAUGGCUUAGCUCGAAAAGCUUAUGCGGAGGCGUACCACGAUUGCAUAUCGUUUGACACCACCUACAUGACCAACAUGUACAAUAUUCCGUUUGCACCCUUCAUAGGAAUAAACUGACAUGGCCAAUCUUUCAUGUUGGGUUGCGCGUUUGUGAGGCAGGAGUUGGCAUCGAGCUUUGAUUGGGUCUUUGGAGCAUUCCUAGAGGCUAUGGAUGGCAAACCUCCUGACAACUUCAUAACCGAUCAGGAUGGUGCAAUGAGGCAGUCAAUACAGAGCAUCUUUCCAAACCACAGUGCACCGCUGUUGUCGAUGGCACAUCAUGAAAAAGGCUCAGGAAAAAGUUAGUUGGCUGCUGUGCCGGAAUCCAGGACUCUCUGAUGAUUUCAACAAGUGUGUUGACUUCAGCUUCACUAUAGACGAGUUUGAGCAGAAUUGGGCUGGGUUAAUGGUGAAGUACGAGGCUAUGACACACACACACACACACUUUGAGAAGUUGUACGAAUACAGGUCAACUUGGAUGUCGUGCUACUUCAAGCACAGGUUCUUCCCGUUCCUACAAUCUACAUAGUGUAAUGAGGGGUUCAACACCGUCCUGAAAAGAUAUGUGAACCCACACAACUCAAUGCUGAACUUCGUCAAGCAAUAUGAAAAAAAUCCAGAACCACAUCCUUGCCAAGGAAGGCUGCAAUGAUUAAAGGACAGAACACCUUGAGAUUGAGCUGUGGUCCAACUUCCCAAUAGAGAAGCAAGUUUACAAAACCUAUACUAGGGACCUUUACCGCAAGUUCAGAGAAGAGUUUGAGCUGAUUGGAUGUUAUAAUGCAUUCCAAGUUGGUGCUGAUAUAGAGCUCAGACCGAACCAGGAAUUUGUUGCCAAAUAUGGUUCUCGAAACUACUUGGUGUAGGCAAGGGUGGAGGAGGGCUCCUAUUUGUGUGAGUGCUGUAAAAUGGACAAAGACGACAUCCUCUAUUGCCACAUCCUCAAGGUGUUCACCCAUAUUGGAGUUGAUGUCAUACCGGAAAGGUACCUGCUAAGACAGUGGACACCUACUGCUAUACCUAGUGCGCCAGGGACUGGUUAUGAGCAACCGGAUGAAAUGCCUCCUCAGUCAAAGAAGCAGAUAAGGGAGAGGAACAUGAUAUACGAUUUUUGGAAACUAGCAAAGUUUGUGAGUGGUUCUGAUCCAGCACAAGCUAUUGUACACAAGCAUAUGCGUGCAACACGUACCGAGAUCGGCCACAUGAACAAGUCCAAGAAAAAGAAAAAACCGACUGCUGCCACGGGGCCAUCAGAUGAUGGCAACCCUCGAGGACCUCCUCCACCUCCACGCAGCAAUCAGGGUGCUCAUUAUCCAGCUAAUUAUCUGCCCCAACUCCUGAUCUAAAUAGGUGUGUAACUUCAGUUGCACACAUCAUUGUGCCUAGUUGCACACAUCAUGGUGGCCAGUUGCAUAGAAACAGGCUGCCUAGUUGCGCAUACUGUGUUAGUUCAAGCAUCGAGAUAACAUAACUAACUUGUUUUUCCUGUUCUGGAUAUAGAUGAUGUCAACCCUCAAGGACAUCCUCCACCUCCUGGCCCUAUAGGUAGCACUCAGGGGCCUCAUCGUCCAGGUAAUUACCUGCCCCAACUCCCAAUCAAACUAGGUCUGUAACUCCAGUUGCACACAUCAUGGUGCUCAGUUGCACAGAAAACAGGCUACCUAGUUGCGCACGUUGUGUUAGUUCGAGCAUCAAAGAUAACACAACUAACUUGUUUGUCCUGUUCUAUCUAUAGGUGAUGCCAACCCUCAAAGACCUCCUCCCCCGCCUGGCCCAACUAGCAGUGCCCUGCGUGCUACUCCCAAUGGACCUACAUGCAGGACUCAGGGGGCUCAUCACCCAGGUAAAAUACCUUCCCCAACUCCCAACAAAACUAGGAUGUGUGACUUCAGUUGCACAUAUCAUUAUGCCAGUGCAACGUCUUGAGCUUGCAUUGGUUUUCCUCGAAGAGGAGAGGGUGAUGCAUCAAUAGUAGCGUAAGUAUUUCCCUCAGUUUUUGAGAACCAAGAUAUCAAUCCAGUAGGAGGCUCCUCAAAAGUCACACGCACGUACACAAACAAACUGAGAACUCGCAACCAACGCGAUAAAGGGGUUGUCAAUCCCUUCACGGCCACUUGCGAAAGUGAGAUCUAAUAAAGAUGGUAAGCUAAGAUAAAUAUGUUUUUGGUAUUUUAUAAUAUGGAUGCAAAAAGUAAAGAUGCAAAUAAAAGUAGAUUGAAAGCAAAUAUGAUAAGAGAUAGUCCCGGGGGCCAUAGGUUUCACUAGAGGCUUCUCUCAAGAUAUCAUAAGUAUUACGGUGGGUGAACAAAUUACUGUCGAGCAAUUGAUAGAAAAGCGCAUAGUUAUGAGAUUAUCUAGGCAUGAUCAUGUAUAUAGGCAUCACGUCCAUAACAAGUAGACCGACUCCUGCCUGCAUCUACUAUUAUUACUCCACACAUCGACUGACUCCUGCCUGCAUCUAGAGUAUUAAGUUCAUAAGAACAGAGUAACACAUUAAGCAAGAUGACAUGAUGCAGAGAGAUAAACUCAUGCAAUAUGAUAUAAACCCCAUCUUGUUAUCCUUGAUGGCAACAAUACAAUACGUGCCUUGCAACUCUUUCUGUCACUGGGUAAGGACACCGCAAGAUUGAACCCAAAGCUAAGCACUUCUCCCAUGGCAAGAAAGACCAAUCUAGUAGGCCAAACCAAACUGAUAAUUCGAAGAGACUUGCAAAGAUAACUCAACCAUACAUAAAAGAAUUCAGAGAAGAUUCAAAUAUUAUUCAUAGAUAAACUUGAUCAUAAACCCACAAUUCAUCGGAUCUCGACAAACACACCGCAAAAAGAGUUUACAUCGAAUAGAUCUCCACAAGAGAGGGGGAGAACAUUGUAUUGAGAUCCAAAAAGAGAGAAGAAGCCAUCUAGCUAAUAACUAUGGACCCGUAGGUCUGUGGUAAACUACUCACAACUCAUCGGAGGGGCAAGGAUGUUGAUGUAGAGGCCCUCCGCGGUCGAUUCCCCCCCCGGCAGAGUGCCGACGAAGGCUCCAAGAUGGGAUCUCGCGGAUAUAGAAGGUUACGGUGGUGGAAAUUGUGUUUCAUGGUGCCCCUGGAUGUUUUCGGGGUACGUAGGUAUAUAUAGGAGGAAGAAGUACAUCGGUGGCCGCCCGAGGGGCCCACGAGACAGGGGGCGCACCCUAGAGGGGGGGGGGCUCCUAUCUCGUGGAGCCCUCAGCUGCUUCUUGACUUGCAUUCCAAGCUCUCCGGAUCACGUUCGUUCCAAAAAUCACGCUCCCGAAGGUUUCAUUCCGUUUGGACUCCGUUUGAUAUUCCUUUUCUUCGAAAUAUUGAAAUAGGCAGAAAAAACAGCAAUACGGGCCGGGCCUCCGGUUAGUAGGUUAGUCCCAAAAAUGAUAUAAAUGUGUAAAAUAAAGCCCAUAAACAUCCAAAAGAGGUAAUAUAAUAGCAUGGAACAAUCAAAAAUUAUAGAUACGUUGGAGACGUAUCAAGCAUCCCCAAGCUUAAUUCCUGCCCGUCCUCGAGUAGGUAAAUGUAAAUAAGAAAUUUUUGAUGUGGAAUGCUACCUAGCAUAAUUCUCAAUGUAAUUUUCUUUAUUGUGGCAUGAAUGUUCAGAUCCAAAUGAUUCAAAAUAAAAGCUUAUAAAACAUAAAAAUAAUAAUGCUUCAAAGCAUACUAACAAAAAAUCAUGUCCUAUCAAAAUAACAUAGCCAAAGAAAGCUUAUCCCUACAAAAUCAUAUAGUUAGGCCAUGCUUCAUUUUCAUUACACAAAAUACUCCCAUCAUGCACAACCUCGAUGACGAGCCGAGCAAUUGUUUCAUACUUUUUAACGCGCUUCAACUUUUUCAACUCUUACGCAAUACAUGAGCGUAAUCCAUGGACAUAACACUAUAGUGGUAUAUGGUGGUGGUUGUGAGGACAAAAAGAGGGAGAAGAUAAUCUCACAUCAACUAGGCGUACUAACGGGCUAUAUAGAGGUGCCCAUUAAUAGAUAUCAAUGUGAGUGAGUAGGGAUUGCCAUGCAACGAAUGCAGUAGAGCUAUAAAUAUAUGAAAGCUGAAAAAAGAAACUAAGUGGGUGUGCAUCCAACUUGCUUGCUCAUGAAGACCUAGGGCAUUUUGAGGAAGCCCAUUGUUGGAAUAUACAAGCCAAGUUCUAUAAUGAAAAAUUCCCACUAAGUAUACGAAAGUGACAACAUAGGAGACUCUCUAUCAUGAAGAUCAUGGUGCUACUUUGAAGCACAAGUGUGGAAAAAGAGAUAGUAGCAUUGUCCUUUCUCUCUUUUUAUCUCAUUUUAUUAUUUUUUCUUUUCUCUUUUUUUCUUUGGCCUUUUUUUUUCUUUUUGGCCUUUCUCAUUUUUUUUCUUUUUUUUAUUUCUCUUUUUUUUCUUUUUGUAAAGUCCGAAGUCUCAUCCCUACUUGUGCGGGAAUCAUAGCCUUCAUCAUCCUUACCUCACUAGGACAAUGCUCUAAUAAUUAAGAUCAUCACACUUCUAUGGAUUUACAACUCAAGAAUUACAACUCAAAGCUAGAACAAGAUCUGACUCUAUAUGAAUGCCUCCGGCGCUGUACCGGGAUAUGCAAUGAAUCAAGAGCGACAUGUAUGAAAAUUAUGAAGGUGGCCUUGCCACAAAUACGAUGUCAACUACAUGAUCAUGCAAAGAGCAAUAUGACAAUGAUGGAACGUGUCAUAAUAAAUGGAAUGGUGGAAAGUUGCAUGGCAAUAUAUCUCGGAAUGGCUAUGGAAAUGCCAUAAUAGGUAGGUAUGGUGGCUGUUUUGAGGAAGGUAAAUAAGGGGUUUAUGAUACCGACAAAAGUUGCGCGGUAAUAAUAAAGGCUAGCAACGUAAAAGGAUGAGUGUGCAUAUGUCCAUGGACUCACAUUAGUCAAAAGAGAACUCAUAUACUUAUUGAAAAAGCCUACUUAGCCCUCGAAGCAAAGUACUACUACGCAUGACCCAAGAGGGAUAGAUUGGUAGGAAAAGACCAUCGCUCGUCCCCGACUGCCACUCAUAAGGAAGACACUCAAAAGAGCACCUCAUCCAACAAAUUUGUCACACAACUUUUACCAUACGUGCAUGCUACGGGACUUGCCAACUUCGACAAAAGUAUUUCUCAAUUUCAUAAUUACCCACUAGCAUGACCCUAACAUUACUACCUUUAUAUCUCAAAACAACUAUCAAGCAUCAAGUUGAUCAUAGCAUCCAAUUCUUAUUCUAUGAUAGUUUUUAUUAUACCCAACUUGGAUGCUCAUCAUUCUAAGACCAACUUUGUAACCAUAGCAAAUACCAUGUUGUUCUAAAAAACUCUCAAAAAUAUAUAAGUGAAGCAUGAGAGACUAGAAAUUUCUUCAAAAUCAGGACACCACCAUGCUCUAAAAGAUAUAAGUGAAGCACUAGAGCAAAAACUAUCAAGCUCAAAAGAUAUAAGUGAAGCACAUAGAGUAUUCUAGCAAAUUCUAAUCAAAUAAGCUUCUCCCAAAAGGUGUGUACAGCAAGGAUGAUUGUGGUAAACUAAAAAGCAAAGACUAAUAUAAUACACGAUGCUCCAAGCAAAACACAUAUCAUGUGGCGAAUAAAAAUAUAGCUCCAAGUAAAGUUACCAAUGAACGAAGACGAAAGAGGGGAUGCCUUCCUGGGGCAUCCCCAAGCUUAGGAUUUUGGCUAUUCUUGAAUAUCUUGGGGUGCCUUGGGCAUACCCAAGCUUAGGCUCUUGCCACUCCUUAUUCCAUAGUCCAUAAAAACUUUACCCAAAACUUGAAAACUUCACAACACAAAACUCAACAGGAAAUCUUAUAAACUCCGUUAGUGAAAGAAAACAAAACCACUACAUAAGGUACUGCAAUGAACUCAUUAUUUAUUUAUUUUGGUGUUAAACCUACUGUAUUCGAACUUCCUUAUGGUUUAUAAACUAAUUUACUAACCAUAGAUGCAUUGAAAUAAGCAAACAACACACGAAAAACAGAAUCUGUCAAAAACAGAACAGUCUGUAGCAAUCUGUAACUAACGCAAAUUGCUGGAACUCUAAAAAUCCUACCAAAAUAGGAAGUCCUGGACAAUUUGUUUAUUGAAAAGCAGAAAAAAGAAUCAACGCAAAAUCACGUUCCUGUGAUUUAACAAAAUUAUAUUCGUGCCCGCAAAGUUUCUGUUUUUCAGCAGAAUCAAAUCAACUAUCAUCGUAGGUUAUCCUAUAGGUUCUACUUGGCACAAACACUAAUUAAAAGAUAAAACACAUCUAAACAGAAGGUAGAUGCAAGAUUUAUUACUAAACAGGAGCAAAAACAAAGAACAUAAAGAAAAUUGGGUUGCCUCCCAACUAGCGCUAUCGUUUAACGCCCCUAGCUAGGCAUAAAAACAAAGAUAGAUCUAAGUAGUGCCAUAUUUGGCACUAGAUUCGUAAGUAGCACGCAUGAUAGAUUCAUAAGGUAAUUUGACUUUAUUUCUUGGAAAGUGCUCCAUGCCUUUCUUUAAUGGAAAUUGGAAUCUAAUAUUCCCUUCCUUCAUAUCAAUAAUCGCACCAAUCGUUCUAAGAAAAGGUCUACCAAGAAUAAUAGGGCAAGAAAGAUUGCAAUCUAUAUCAAGAACGAUAAAAUCUACGGACACCAAAUUUCUAUUUGCAACAAUAAGAACAUCAUUGAUCCUUCCCAUAGGCCUUUUAAUGGUGGAAUCCGCAAGGUGCAGAUUUAAAGAGCAAUAAUCAAGAUCAUGGAAACCUAGAAUAUCACAUAAAGUUUCGGAAUCGUGGAAACACUAGCACCCAAAUCACACAAAGCAAAACACUCACAAUCUUUAAUUCUAAUCUUUAUAGUAGGUUCCCACUCAUCAUUAAGUUUUCUAGAUAUAGAAACUUCCAAAAUUAAGUUUUUCAUCAUAAGAUUGCAUCAAGGCAUCAACGAUAUGUUUGGUAAAAGUUUUAUUUUGACUAUAAGCAUGAGGAGAAUUAACAAUGGAUUGCAACAAGAAAAUACAACCUUUUAAAGAGCAAUUAUAAUAAUCAAAUUCCUUGAAAUCCGAGAUAGUAGAUUCAAUAUUAUUAGAAGUUGAGGAUUCUCCAAUCUCACUUUUACCAAAUUUAGCAAUAAGAUCUAAAGAUUCCGAAUUCUUGGGACGCCUUCUAGGCAAAGUUGAUUCAUCAUCAGUCCCAUUAUCAUCAAAAUUCAUAUUGCAAAAUAUAGAUCUAAUAGGAGACACAUCAAUAACUUUAAGAUCCUCAUCAUUAUUUUCACCUAACUUUUCUGGUUCAGCGGCCAUCUUAUUGACUAAGGUGGCUUGCUUAUCAGAAAUUUUGGCUAUAGUAUUUUCAAGACGGGUAAUUUGAGCAUUAACACCAUAAAAUUCUUCAUUCAUAUCAUCAAGCUCUUUGUUCCUAAACCCCAAAAAACCUUUUUGUUCCUUAAGCUCUUUUCUAAAGAAGUUAUUAUGCUAAAAUUGCAAAUUCAUAAAGCUUCUAAUAUUUGAUUCAAUCUCUUCCAUCCUUCUGAGAAGGUGGUCAUGACCCUUAGGCGAAGCCAUAAGGACAAACAGGCACACAAGCAAACAGAGAAGGGCAAGCGAAAGAGAGGAGGAGAUUGCGAAAGAGAGGGCGAAUAAAACGGCAAGGGUGAAGUGGGGGAGAGGAAAACAAGAGGCAAAUGGUAAAUAAUGUAAAUGCGAGGGAGAUGGGUUUGUGAUGGGUACUUGGUAUGUCUUGACUUGAGCGAAGACCUCCCCGGCAACGGCGCCAGAAAUCCUUCUUGCUACGUCUUGAGCUUGCGCUGGUUUUCCUCGAAGAGGAGAGGGUGAUACAUCAAUAGUAGCGUAAGUAUUUCCCUCAGUUUUUGAGAAACAAGGUAUCAAUCCAGUAGCUGGCUCCUCAAAAGUCCCACGCACCUACACAAACAAACUGAGAACUCGCAACCAACGCGAUAAAGGGGUUGUCAAUCCCUUCACGGCCACUUGCGAAAGUGAGAUCUAAUAAAGAUGGUAAGAUAAGAUAAAUAUAUUUUUGGUAUUUUAUAAUAUGGAUGCAAAAAGUAAAGAUGCAAAUAAACAUAGAAUGAAAGCAAAUAUGAUAAGAGAUAGACCCGGGGGCCAUUGGUUUCACUAGAGGCUUCUCUCAAGAUAGCAUAAGUAUUACCGUGGGUGAACAAAUUACUGUCGAGCAAUUGAUAGAAAAGUGCAUAGUUAUGAGAUUAUCUAGGCAUGAUCAUGUAUAUAGGCAUCACGUCCAUAACAAGUAGACCGACUCCUGCCUGCAUCUACUACUAUUACUCCACACAUCGACCGACUCCUGCCUGCAUCUAGAGUAUUAAGUUCAUAAGAUCAGAGUAACGCAUUAAGCAAGAUGACAUGAUGUAGAGGGAUAAACUCAUGCACUAUGAUAUAAACCCCAUCUUAUUAUCCUCGAUGGCAACAAUACAAUACGUGCCUUGCAACCCUUUCUGUCACUGGGUAAGGACACCGCAAGAUUGAACCCAAAGCUAAGCACUUCUCCCAUGGCAAGAAAGACCAAUCUAGUAGGCCAAACCAAACUGAUAAUUCGAAGAGACUUGCAAAGAUAACUCAACCAUACAUAAAAGAAUUCAGAGAAGAUUCAAAUAUUAUUCAUAGAUAAACUUGAUCAUAAACCCACAAUUCAUCAGAUCUCAACAAACACACCGCAAAAAGAGUUUACAUCGAAUAGAUCUCCACAAGAGAGGGGGAGAACAUUGUAUUGAAAUCCAAAAAGAGAGAAGAAGCCAUCUAGCUAAUAACUAUGGACCCGUAGGUCUGUGGUAAACUACUCACAACUCAUCGGAGGGGCAAGGAUGUUGAUGUACAGGCCCUCCAUGGUCGAUUCCCCCUCCAACAGAGUGCCCGGCGAAGGCUCCAAGAUGGGAUCUCGCGGAUACAGAAGAUUACGGUGGUGGAAAUUGUGUUUCGUGGCGCCCCUGGAUGUUUUCGGGGUACAUAGGUAUAUAUAGGAGGAAGAAGUACGUUGGUGGCCGCCCGAGGGGCCUACGAGACAGGGGGCAUGCCCUACAGGGGGGCGCAGCCUCCUAUCUCGUGGAGCCCUCGACUGCUUCUUGACUUGCACUCCAAUCUCUCCGGAUCACGUUCGUUCCAAAAAUCACGCUCCCGAAGGUUUCAUUCCGUUUGAACUCCGUUUGAUAUUCCUUCUCUUCGAAAUACUGAAAUAUGCAAAAAAAACAGCAAUACAGGCUGGGCCUCCGGUUAGUAGGUUAGUCUCAAAAAUGAUAUAAAUGUGUAAAAUAAAGCCCAUAAACAUCCAAAAGAGGUAAUAUAAUAGCAUGGAACAAUCAAAAAUUAUAUAUACGUUGGAGACGUAUCACCCAGUUGCACAGAACAUGCUGCCUAGUUGCGUGCGCUGUGUUAGUUUGAGGAUCAAGCUAAAAAUCUAACUUGUUUUUCCUGUUCUACCCAUAGGCAAUUACAAUCCAAGUACCAUGACGGGACGUGCUACUCCAAGUGUUUUUUCAACUUAACCUGCACACAUCAACCAGUUAGGUGCACAGCAUGGGCUGCGUGGUUGCAGAGAACAUUAGUGCUGGUUGCACAACAAAAAAAGUACUAAAUUUUUUAUAUGAUUAUUACACAGGUGAUCGUGAUGGUCCUACUGCCCCGUUGGAGGAUGCAUCCCCUGCACAAGCUUCUGAUGACUUUGUGCCCAGGGAUCCUCCAAGGUCUACUACAAAGGGUAGGGCAAAAAGUUGACGGUACAAAUCGGCGCUGGAGCUACACCCAAAGAAGAAAAACAAAUGCAACCAAUGCCAAUCUACAGAGCACACUGCUGGUGUGUGUGUCCACUCAGGCUACUGUGAUUCUGUUUCACCAUUUGUAACUUUGAGACAAAAAAGGAAAAGAAUGAUGUUUUUUAGCAAUGCUGGGACCAAGUAGACACAUUCAGCAUCUAUGAUUUCUCUUUAUCUAAUUUAUGCUCCUUGAAUUAUUUCAUGCACUGUGUAAAAAAUGUUGCUAUUUGUACCUUUGUUGGCAACUGGUUAAAUAUUUAGUUGUUGAACAAUUGUAUGUCAAGUGCUCCUAAUAUAUCAACAAAAGUGAUGAUAUUGACUUGCAAACGGAAUUGCUACUAGUGUGCAACUACAAAAUCUGCUUAAAAAUUGUGCAAACCAGCAACUACCUCCAUGGAGCAGAGAAAGAAAAAGAGUACUGACCUAGUCCUUGUCGUAUCUCAGCAACUUCCUCCAUGGGGCGGUGUUGUGCACGCUGGUGACCCAGUCAUAUGCCAUCUUCUUCCUGAUGUUGAGUACUUCCUUGGGUUCGUAGUUGGGCAGUUGGCUAUCGUUCCACUCGGUGGCGUUAAGCAGUGCGAACAACCCACACUCAUUACUGCGAUGGGCAAGAAAAGAAAAUUUGUCACAUAAAAUUAAAACCAAAUAAAGAUAAUGCACUCUGUGCAACUGCUUAUGUUCUACUGUGCAACUGUUUAUGUUCUACUGUGCAACUACUUAUGUUCUACUGUGCAACUUCUUAUGUGCCACUAUGCAACUGCUUAUGUGCCACUCUGCAACUGGCUAGAUAAUCCAUUAGAAACUCAUAAAAAUGAUAAACAGAUUGCAGACUAGUACUGUGUCUUAAAAAACUAAAGAUUGCACAUGUAGAAAAAUUUAAAAACUACAAAAUGAUGGUAAGAAAUUGAGAAGAGAGCCAUGCUUAUUGUCUUACUUGCCGAGCUGCUUCGGUACGUCAAUGUAAAUAAUCUGAAAGUGCUCGAUGCUGAAAUUUGGGUAAUGCUUCCUCCAUAGCUGGCGUACUGCCCCCGCGAUGGUAGAGGCGGUGGUCAUCAGCUCAAUGUCAUCUAGCGUCCUGCUUGAAUCAAGAACUUCGAAGCGUCCGUCCCUCAAGUUGACAUUGAAGACCCAAUAAUGCCUCCCUCCCUCCUUAUCGGUUACAUCAGUGCACUCGAGCACUGGCAGCAUGACCUGCAAGUGUGAACGAUUUCAGACAUAGAUACAGGCUGUAGCUAAGAAAAAACAGUAAAAGACUUGGUCAAGUUAAAACAUGUUGCAACAAGUAUGUGCCAACUAACAGAUGUGCCAUGUGCAACUGAACAUGCUGUGGGUGUCAACAAAAAGAGAUGGAUCAUGUGGGCACAACACUCACCAAGUCCUUCUUGUCGAGACGGUUCUUGUAAUCAAACUUCUUGUUUAUCUCUUUCACGUUGUGGAUACCUUGCUGUAAAUUCAUCUGCAGAGAUUAUAAAGCAUGGCUCAAACUCCUUAGUAGAUGAAAGGCCUCCCUCAAUUGGUCAACAAAAAAGUGCUACAGAACAAAGAUGAGGGUAAGGAAGGUUUUGGAAAAACUUACCGAAAAACUCAGUGGCAUAACAACCUUCUUUGACCCUUCUAGUAAGCUCUCCAUGAUGUGUAAGAUUCCAGUCUCAAUAACAAUUUUUGACAGCCAUUGAACCGGCUUCAUCGAAUCAACUAACUCCUUUAAAGAAAUGUAGAAAUCACCAUACCUGAUUAUCUCAGGGCUGAAUUUUUUUUGAAAGCAAUAAAAAGACAAGUUAGCUCGAAGGGUCAUAGUAGCAAAAAAAAUGUGCAUGAAAUUGAAAAACAGAACAGUGUGCAACUAAAAGCCCUGUUCUGUGCAACAUGCUAUGCUUUCUGUGCAACUAAGUGGCUGGUCUUGUGCAACUGAAAAAGAUAUGUAUGUAGGCUGUGGGGAGUUAGUUUACCUGGUAGCUUCAUCAUUUGCUCCUUCAUGAUGCCUGGCCCAACACAAGAGGGCAGCGUAAAGCUUGUUCACUGCCUCAUUGGAGCUGAAAGACUUCUUCUUGUUGUAGUCAAUGAAUGGAGACCUUUGAGAUGCCGCGAGCCUUAUUACCGUCCUCUGUCUUCAUGCAAUAGGUGGUCCUGAAGAACAGCUCGUGUCAGCUUCUGGUUCUGCGCAUAUCGGGGUGUGGCAAUUCUCUGGUGAUCCAACAUCUAGCUCUUGAGCUAUUGCCUUGCCAGCAUCAGCAGCAGCGCAUCCUUCAUUCACAGCUGCUGGGUCCAACUCACACUCAUCAAUACUAAUCACACCGGCUUCCGCUGUUUCUGCUGCUGGAGCAGGUGCUGGAGCAUGACCAUCUAUGCCGAGGUCAAAAGAUGGUGCAUCACAGAACCCGUCACCAUGAUAAGACUUUAAUCUUCGUAUGGGUUCAAGGACUAGGGCAUCUCCUUGCGGCACAAACAUGGGUGCAUCAUUCACUGACUUGGUUCGUGAUAGUGUUGUAGUUGGCAGCCUUGGAGGCUUGCACCUACUUAUAAUCUUGAACACCUCCUCUUGUGUUAAUGGUUGCUGAAAGUCAGCUCUUGGUGAUGCAGGCUUGCUUGGCUGUUGUGUGCUGGCUCUUGGGGACGGCAAUUUGGUAGUAGGAUCACCUCCUUUUGUGUUUGGCAUUGAAGCAUCUCUAUGAGUAGGCACUUUGGGGCUUGCAGUUGCAGUGGUGCCUUCCUGAGCAGAUGUGGUGGUUUUGACUAUGACCACGCUGCUAACUGACACAUCAGUUGGCACACUGGUAUCUGUAGUUGGCAUCUUUCCAGUCUGAGUUGGCAGCAACCUAGCAGAACUUGGCACCCCUGCAUCAAUGGUUGCAGCUCGCAGUUCUCUCUCGUCUCUGAACCCCAAAUCUUUUGUGGCCUGUUCCCCCUUUGUGCCGCUGGCAAACUUGACAAUCUUUUGUUGCUUAGGUGGUUUUGGUGGGACUGUUGAAAGGGGAGUCUUCCCCUUGAUCUGUUGAACUCCUGUUAUGGUGGUUGGCUCUCUGCUCACUACAGUUGGCAUAUCAGUUUGAAGCACAGCUUUCUUGACCAUAUUUACUUCAGCAUCUGCACUCACCAUCUUCUCCUUGGUUUGAGGCAAAUGUAGAUUCUUCUUCAUUGAAACUUCUUUACGCUUCUGGACCACGUGAGGGUUUGCCAUGGAUGCUACCUUGCUCUUGCCGGAGCUUAGGUCUCGAAGCUGCUUCAAAUAUUCCUUGUAUUUUUCCUUUGAAUGAACCCAGUCAAGACCCUUUCCUGCUUUCUCCAUGUCAAUUUGAUUCUUUUCAGCAACACUUGAUAAGAACGGGCUCUUGUCAAUGGCAACGUUGAUCUUCUCACACAUAUCUUGGUCGCUAAAAUAUGGCACAGGAAAGGUGGUUGGCAAAGCUGGCUUCAAGUUGCAGAGCUUGAACAUAUCAAUGCUGCACUGGGACUCUGCUUCGUCAUUUUUCUUUGACUUCGGCAAAUCCUUGUCUUCCAGCAAGUUUUGUCAAUUAGCAUCUGUAGUGUGCUCCUGCUACUCAGUGAAUUGCUGCUGCUGGCAGGAGUGGCAGAAGUGCUAGUCCUACUGGAUGUGUUGCCGCCUGUACGACCAGAACCAGGGGCAUUGUCAUCAUCAUCAUCAUCGCUGCUGUCGCUGCCUCCACUGGAUCCCCCUUUAUCAUCACCAUAACCCACCUCGUCUUCUUCUUCAUCAUCUUCUUCCCUCUCACUGCCAUCAACUGCUGCACCUUUGUCCCCGUCCACCUCUUUGGCCUCACCUUCUUCUUCCUCCUCCUCUGCCUCACUAUCUUCUUCCUUGUCCUCCUCCUCUCCUUUGUCCUCUUCUUGUUUGUCCUCCUCCUCCUCCUCCUCCUCCUCUUCCUCCUCCUUCUCCUCCUCUUCCUCCUCCUCUUCCUCCUCCUCCUCUGCAUCUUCUUCAUUGUCAUCCUCAUCCUUGUCCUCAUCCUCUGAUUCAUCCGCAUUUGUGUCGUCGUCAUUGUCAACAUCUAUCGCUGCUUCCAUUUCCUCAUCUUCUUCUGACUCAUCCUCAACAAACUCUUCUUCUUGUUGUAUAAUUGACCCCCGUCUCUUUCUUUUUGGAGCACGGCGUGACGCCCCGGUUUGCAUUGAUGGCUGCUGUACGUAAGGAUCAAUAUCCGGUUCCUCAUCAUCAAUCUUGGCAACUGCUUCAAUGAAGGUGCCAACCUGUUCAGUUACAGCCUUGCACAGGUCAUUGACCACUUUCGCAAUCUUUGCCUUUUUCUGCAUCAACACAAAAAAAAGAUUCAAUAUUGAUUCAGUUAGAAAAAAUUAAAAAGUAAAAUGUUUGUAACUGACCAUGAUGUGAUAAGCAAAAACCGACUAAUACACACUUUUUGGCCAACUAAAAACAUGAUUCUAGCCAACUACACAUGCACUGUGGCACAAACUAAAAACAUGCAUUCUACCCAGUUGAUGUCAAUGGUUGUAAACGAACACUUUGACUGUCAAAAAGAACAUGUGCAACUAUAGAAGCUUAUAUGUGCAACUGAACAUACAUCACAACCAACUGAAUCCUUUAUUCUCGCAACUACAAAAGUUAUACAUGUCCAACUGAACAUACAUCCCAGCCAAAAGAAAAUGUUGGUAAGUGGUACAAAUUUAUGUAUGCAAAACACUAACCUGCGGAUUGUAGGUUAUUGGUAACUUGGAUGCCACGAAUGCUUCAGCUUGCAAAAUUCCACCAAACAGUGGUGUCUGCUCCGUGCCUCUAUACUCCUCUUUAAGCUGAUGUAAAAAAACAGAAAAAGAAAAGAACAAGGUUAUCAAAACAAAUUUUUGUGUUAAACAAAACCAAACAUUAUAACCUGUGCAACUACAACAAGAUACUAUGGUAGACAAUUCGACUAUACAUAUAUGCAACUGAACAAAGAUACAAAAACUGUGCAACCCACAUGGCACCUAAAUUUUUUUUCUACCAACUGAUGCCACACAUCUAUGCAACAAGAUUAGUAAAACUGUGCAACUUAAAAAAGAUGGUGUGCCAAUUUAAAAUGAACAUGUGUGCAGAUGCCAAACUUAAAGCUACAAGCUGUGCAACUACAUGAAUUGUUGUGCCAACUGAUGACAGUUUUUGUGCAAUUUCCAAAAAAGUGACUAGACAUCAAAAGAACAUAAAAAAAGAGACUGUUGGAAAAAAACAAAGAGAACUCACUUGUAAUUUGCCGAACACACCAGGAGAGACGGUAUCAUUCUUCAUCACCUUGGCAAUUAGAGUACCAUCCCAUGCAUUCGGUCGCAUCGCGCAGUUGCUUACUGGGAUGUCAUGGACAAGCGCAUCAAGGUAUAGUAUCUUCACCAGACCCAACAAAAGAAAAGCCAAGUUCAGUUAUUAUUAUGAGUAUUUCAGCAAACUAUAACUGCACAAAAAGAAAAAGAACAGAUGGAAGUGGUCGUUUUCACUAACCAUCAAGUGAUACAAGCAGCAGCAAACAGUUUGCUUCUCCUGGUCCAUGUUCCGGAAAGCUUCGUUAAUGUGUUCUGCUACAAAAAGGCAGAUGUUUGUGUUCUUGAGGUUUUCAUGAUCAAGGCCGUGGUUGGUGCUAAGAAAGUGUUGAAGGCAACUACAAGCCAGGCCAUAAAGAAUGUGUCAUCCGUUCUUCCCCCCAUAUCCUUAAUCAUCGUGGUCCAUGUACUGAUCUGGGGAUGAGAAGUUCCAGUUAUGUUGAAGGUCUCUCUGAAUCUCCUAGUUGUUUCCUUGUCAACUUUGUAACAGACUUUUAGACCCCUGUUAGGAAGAUCAAAUACCCUUUGAACACUGUCAGCAUCGACACGGAUCCUUCCCCUUCCUAGGAAAACCAUUUCAGAGGUCUGUGGCUGGUAGGACUGCACCAGGAACUUAGUGAGGUCUGCUGGAAGUGUGUCUGACAAGUUCAAUAGCCCCCCGAACAAACUCUAAACUAGCUCUGACUUCUGUGGUGGGGUUAGAGAGGCGUUGAAAUUUGCAAACCGCGCUGGUGAUGCCCUUAUCCUGCCUGCUUGUGAUGGUCGCUCCACAUCUUCCCCUGCAGCCACCUCAACUCCUUCACCGCUGGCCUGUUAAUGAGAAUAUAAAAACAUUAAGGAAACAUUAAAAACAAGAGAAAAAAUAAGAAUGAAAAAAAAAUCUAACAAUCAUCAUUUGGAUCAGUAUUGGAAAAAGCUAUAUAUUCAUAAAAUGGAUCAUGCCAACUAAUAUGGUGUAUUUGUGCAACUAAUAAAGACCAUGAGGACAACUAAAGACUGCCAGUGUGCAACCUUCAAAAAAAACUAAGAAAAUAUACGAUACCUGGCAACUACAAAAAGUUCUAACGGAUGUGCAACAAUAAGAAAUGAUAUUGCAACAAGAUAACAACAACUAAAAAAAGGUUUGCAAGGAACUGUUCAAUAGCUCAUAAACACACAAAAAAACCACAUACCUCAGCAUCCGUUGCGGAAGAUGCGACAGGUCCUCCAGCAACUGUUGCCUGCACAAAAAAAUGACCAGUGAUGUCAACUAUAAAGAAGCCAACUUGUCAACUACAAGAUGCCAACUAAUGCCAACUAAUGUCAACUGUAUUUAGAUCAAGAUGGCUAGAGAUGUCAACUACAAGGUUGUUAUUGACAAACUAAAAACAAAAAUGGUGGUGAGACCUGCUGCAUAAUUUCAUCAGCGUCUAAAAAGCGAGAAACACUUAUAUUCGAGAAUUUACUUGCCCUAGAAGAUGACUCAACUCCCUUUCCAACUGUUGCACGUCUAGUCCGCUUUACAACACGGAACUGAUCAGCAUCCUAAGAAAAAAUAAAAAACCAAAAAAUGGGCUUGUGUCAUCAGCAUGCCACUUACCUCAACAUCCUCUCCUUGCUCAACACUCCGCGCAAGUCGUGCCUGGCGAUUAGGAGGACGCUUCGACCUCCAGCGAAGCGACUGACUUCCAGAACGCUGAUUAAGCAACCCAAAAAGAAAACAUGAAAAAAGGACAUUAGCAUACAUGCAUAAGUUGAAAACAACUCAAAAACACAGAAAAAGUGAAAAAAAAAGACAUCUUCUUCAUUGCCAUCCGCUUCUCCUCCUAUUAUAACCAUUUUUGCCCUGCAGGAGGAAAUAUAACAAAAGAAAACAUAGUUAGAAGAUGCGGAAACAAACUAGGGAAAUCAUAGAAGGUUGCUUUGAUUUGCAGACAUCUACACAUAAGCAGGACACAAAAAGCAAAAAACCAAAAAACAUGUGGACAACCAACUACUACAAUGAUGUAGCCAACUGGGCAGUAAACCUUGUGCAAACUAGACAACAUAUAAACCAACUAACUAUUUUCUGCCUAGGUCUUACUUGCCAACUGUGACAAGUAAUAACUAGGCAGAAAAUAGUUAACUAAAGGCAACAAGCUCAGUAAGAUAACUUGUGCAAACUGGAACAAGCAAAAAAUGCAAAGCAAAAAAUCCAGCAAAACAAUUGGGCAUACUAUAUUGAAAAAUUAGCAACCAUUCAGUGCUAAUUUGCAAAAAUAAUUGUCCCUAGUUGCACAUGAGGGGAACGCAUGAAAACAACCACAUCCACAACAAAGACUUGCACAUUGAGAAAAAUUAAAUUGGAAAAUUGGCAAGUAUUGGUACUAAUUUGCACAAUCAAGGGGCCCCUAGUUGCACAAAGCAGGAGAAAGCACAUGAACCACCACAGCCACCAUAAUGCUGGUGGAUAGGGUAGACUAUAUUGGAAAACUGGCAAGCAUUGAUGCUAAAUUGCACAGACAAGAGUCCCUAGUUGCACACAGCAGAGGGGGGAAAACAGCAAAGCCAACUAAGUAGAGCAACUAGCACAAAGUGUAUAACAUAUGAACAGUCAACUAGUAAAAGUGAUGCAGCCAACUGAGCAGGCAACUUGUGCAAUUGAAUACCGUAUAGACAACCAACUAGUACAAACAGUGAGCCAACUGACCAAAACAACUGCUGCAACUGCAGAGCAUAUGGACAGCCAGGUACUAUAUGGACGCAGCCAACUGAGCAGAAUUUUGUGCAACUAACCACUUGAAUUACUGAAUCAUGAACUUGCAGGAUCAGGGAAAAUCAGCCAAUGCAUUGCACAUUACAUUGCGCGCAUCUAAUACAACUUGCAGGAUGACUAAGAAUCAUGAACAGAUCUCAAACCUCUGCAAAAUUGAACAGAACAUGAACUAAACAGCCAAAUCGCCCUAAAAUCGCAACGGGCGCCAUGGACAUGCAUCCCUUCUACCUAACGACUACCACGUACCCUGGCCAACUACACGUUGACCCUGGCUAGCCACCCCCGUGCCGUCAAGGGAGUACUAAUUUGCACAAGUGAUGAUAUCUAUUUGCACACGGCAGAAUAAAAAAACACGUGGACCACCACAUCCACCACAAGGCUGGCAGAUUGGGUACACUAUAUUGCAAAAAAUGGCAAGCCUUGGUGCUAAAUUGCAAACAAGGGUUCCUAGUUGCACACAGCAGCGGGAAAACACACGAACCACCAGAUCAAUCACAAAGGAUGGCAGCUUGGCUAGUUAAUGUUGGGAAAUUGGCAAGCAUAGAUACUGAUUUGCACAAAAAAAUGGUCCCUAAUUGCACACAGCAGGGAAAAACACAUGACCCAGGAGAACCACCACAAGGCUGACACAUGGCUAUAUUGUCUCAAAAAUUGUCUACUGCUGCUCCUAUUUUGCACGCAAGGGGCAACACAGUUGCACACCGCGGGGGGAAAACACUCAUCAAAAACACCAGAUCCACCGCGAGGCUACAAUCCACAAACGAACCUCUAUGGCCGCUAACCAAUCAUCCUCCCUGAACCACUCAUCCCGUACGUAUAUACACGAACUCUCCCCCUAUUGCAAUGCAAAAACGACGGGAUGAGCACGACCCUAGCCCAUCCCUGCCAAUCCGGCGGUUUCCCAAACGAAGUAGUCCGCGGGGGUGACCUCAACCUCGCCGGAAAAUGAGUUCGACCUUCCUACCCCCGACCGUGACCUCGAGUUCGACCUUUACCUCGACCUCACCGAAAAAUGUGGGACCUCACCGGAAAAAAGGAGGGGAUGGGGACGAGUACCGGGGAACGCAUGGUAGGAGCAGUACCUGUGCCGCCGCGGACAACGACCCUCGCGGUGCGCCCCGCCGUUGACCACAACCAAUGGCGGAUUUGGAGCCGCCUCCGAGCACCAACCAGCGGCGAGAGCAGGGGGAAAGAGGAGGAAUGGGCGGCGACAGGUGCGGGGUGGACGGGGUAAUGGCACGAAAUUCGAAACCGCCACCCACUACGCACGACGGCUAUCACGCUGGGGAACUGCCUAAUCCUCUAUGACGUGUGGGUCCGUCGGGAAGUUUAUCUCGCGCGGCGCGGCUCGAUCGGACCAGGCGAUCGGUCCACGCGCGGUCCGAGCGGCGCGGCUCCACCACCCGACCAGGGAACACCUGGACAUCGCGCGCCGUCGAUCGGAACGAGAUCGAGCGGCUCUCGUUCGGCCGCUCGUUCUCUCUAGAUAGUGCGCGUGUAUUUUUUAGGUUUUGGGAUAAAUAAACUGUGAGAUGCUUUCACGGUGGGCCUUUGCCCAUCCCGUACUAUUCCACUCCACCGCCGCCAUCCAUCUCUCAUCCCAACCUACCUAUUCCAGCCGCCUCCAAGCUAUGGAGAAGCCAGUGAAGGUGCCGAUGUCCAGGCUCACCGACGACCUAAUCGCGGAGAUCCUCUCUCGGGUGCCCUACAAAUCACUCUGCAUCUGCAAGUGUGUGUGCCCGGCCUGGCGCGACCUCAUCGCCGACCCCGCGCACCGGAAGAAAGUUGUGCAGACCCUGGCCGGCUUUUUCUACCGCAUCACCGGCGAGGUCACGGCCGUCAAGUACGCCGACCUGUCCGCCUUCCCCUGGUCGAGCGUUCCCAAGACCUACCCACGCCUGCCACUGCCAACUGACAACAAUUUCUUCUCUCUUGAGGAUUCCUGCGAUGGAUUGUUUCUUGCCCGCAUUCGGACGGGCACCCCUGCUGGAAAAUUUCGCUACAUGGUCUCCAAUCCGGCCACGAAUGAGUACACUGUGCUGCCUGACUCUGGCUCCGCCGGCAACAUCUGCCUUGCUUACCUGGGUUUCGACAGUGAUGUUUCCACUCAAGAGUUUCAUGUGUUCGAGUUUGUACUGGUCCUCCGUGAGCCAUCCCUGGUUGUGAGGGGAGUGAAUAUUUACUCUUCAAAAACUGUUGCAUGGGUAGCAAUGGAACCCAAAUGGGACAUCCAAGUUACGUUGUGCUGGCGUAAACCAGGAGUUUUCCGUAAGGGGUUUCUGCACUUGCUGAUAGGUCAGUUUGGGUUGGCAAUACUUGAUGCAGAAGGGCUAACAUGGAGAAUUAUCCCGCUUCCAGUUGUAGAAAGUGUUAAUCCGUGUUUCUCCGGAUUCAUUGGAAAGUCUGCCGGACAGCUAAUUUAUAUCGACCGCGGUGCUAUUGAAGGACACGGCUCUAAUGCAUUGUUGACUAUAUCAGUUUACGUUCUUGGUGCUGAGAUAUGUCAGUGGGAUGUGACUCACCUGGAUGACAAGUGCAUGCGUUGGAAACUCUUGCACAAGCUUUCAAAUGUACUCCGAAGAAGAUGUUUCGGCUCUGUUUCAACCUCGAAGUCAUUGCAGUACACCCACAUGCCAAUAUAAUCUUCUUUGUAGCUCAUUGGAAGAAUGAACUGGUUGCAUACGAUCUGGAUCGUCAUGAGAAGCACAAUUGUGUAUCACAUUCACAUUGAGCCUAACUACUGGCAGUUUAUGAAUUUUUUCCCAUAUGUUCCAUCGUUGUCCCGCUUACCACUGGAUGGAGGAAUACAGCUGGCAACUCCAAAUCAAUGAAUGUUCUGCUCAUUAAAAGUUGGGCAGUCAGCGGUGAGGUGCUCCGGUGUGUUCUCAAGAGUAAUCUUCACAGAGAUUCAAAUACAGAUGAUAUUGUUUUGGAAAAUGCUAACUUCAGUUUUCAGUUCAGUUGGAAAAUGCCAACAAGUAGAGCUGCAUGAGAUACCUUAGUUUGUUAUAUUUUGACAUGUACUACUACUACCUUGUAUUUCUAUUAGAAUCUUAUGUUCUGAUAUGAAAAGGCAUAGUCUGAUAUGUGCACAUUCAAUCUGCAUUGGUUGGUUCUAUCUUGGUGUUUGCACUAAGNNNNNNNNNNNNNNNNNNNNNNNNNNNNNNNNNNNNNNNNNNNNNNNNNNNNNNNNNNNNNNNNNNNNNNNNNNNNNNNNNNNNNNNNNNNNNNNNNNNNNNNNNNNNNNNNNNNNNNNNNNNNNNNNNNNNNNNNNNNNNNNNNNNNNNNNNNNNNNNNNNNNNNNNNNNNNNNNNNNNNNNNNNNNNNNNNNNNNNNNNNNNNNNNNNNNNNNNNNNNNNNNNNNNNNNNNNNNNNNNNNNNNNNNNNNNNNNNNNNNNNNNNNNNNNNNNNNNNNNNNNNNNNNNNNNNNNNNNNNNNNNNNNNNNNNNNNNNNNNNNNNNNNNNNUUAUAUUCAUAGAAGUUUGCAUACGUAUGAAGCAUAUAUUGUGAUCACGCUGUCUCAAAAGGCUGAGAAAUGUCAAUGUUGAUGAUCCGUAAUCCUAGCUGGUUUAUAUCUGUCUCACAAAAUGGUCAAAAUCUCCUAAUAGGACUUGGAACCGUUUCUUGCUCCAUUUUUUCUUCUUCUAAUGGCUCCAAAUUCCAUGUCUAGAGUAUGUAGUUACGUUUUCCUGUCCUCUUUCGAUCUUUCAAUUUUGUUGGUCUGUGAUAUGAUUCCACUAUGAGAGGCACUAAUAUCUUCCCCCCUGUAAUUAACUAGUAUGUUCCAGUUCCAUCAGUUUGAGAUGAAAGUGUAUCCCUGAUUUGAAGCUUUUUACUAUUCACCAACCAAUAAACUAAAUAUUUUAGCCCUCACCUAUGGAAUCUUCGUCUAUAUCUGAACCUGACUGUUUUUGCUAGCAGCUUUCAAGAUUCUAUGUGCAAAAUGAAAGGUCCUAGUCCAUCUUUCUUUGGCUAACCAGAGUAGUUGCCUUGUCUCUACCAGUAUCAAAACAGACAGUGUAAUUUGCACUAUGCUGAUCACUCAGAUGUGGAGUAGAAUUAAUCAUUUCAGGGACAUGUUUAGUACAAUGAUAGAAUUAUUUUUUCCCAGUAGAUAAGCAUGUCAAUGUGUAUUCCGCUGAAUAAUGUGAAGCAUAUUGGCUGCUAAACCUUGCAUGCCCUCUAUUCCCUCUAGUAAUUAUCUACGGUUAUAUCCUCACUCGGACAGAAUUUUGUUAGCUCUAUGCUAAUUCUGUAUAAAUAAUGGUUACCAAUAUUCAUGUGAAGUUCUUAAAAGUCUUCUGUUGAGUCAAUUCUUGAGUAACGUAUAUAUACAAAUUUAGAGAAUCAUUACCUGUUCUUCUGUAGCCAUCUCUGCCUUGCUGUGAGGUGGCAAGAGGCAGUUUUCUUUAUGUUGGGUUGUUAUUCUGUUUUGCAGACUCAAAUAAGCAGCGUAUCAGUUACACGAAACCUCAGAUUUGACGCAGACCUCAUUGGUUGGCUGCCAAAGCCGUGGGGUUAGUUUGCUUAGUACACUCACUACAUAGUUUUUAGCUUUCUCUGCUGUGCUUUUCUCGCCUUUUUCUAUACAGAUCAAAUGUCUCAUACCUUAUCUGUUUUUUCUAAUUAUUUGCUAUCGCUGCAGUGCAGCGAUUUUAGACUGAUCUAAGCCCAGAUUAUGCUGUGGAAGACAGAUUCAUCAGAGGUUGCCUGAUCUAAGCCUAAUCUUCUACCCCUUUCAAGCACAGUUAGUGUUCGGAUGCCAGUCGGCGGAUGCAUCGGCCAAGCAUCAAUCAGUUCACUUCCAUCAGCAGGCUACGUUAGCACGGCGACUUCGUCGAGAUUGUUGGAUGGGUACCCACAGACUACGAAGCCCAAGAAACAAUGGGUAAACUCAAAGUCUGUAUAAUGUUGGUGAAAUUUGGGGACAUAAAUAAACUUAAGCAAGGCGAGUCGGCCAGGCAGUGGAUGACUAUCACCCCGCAGCAGCUAAGCAGGAAACGCUGGAUGGACCGCACCAUGCCGCCGUUUCCGUAUAUACAGAUGCAGAGCAAGAUGAAAGCUGCAGCCUCUCGUUCUGGCUACAUCGCAGAUUCAGAGAAAUAUUUGCUGGCUCUUAAUACGACACCUCAUAUUUGGCAAUAGUGACAACUUUAGAAAGACCUGUUGUUGGUGACGACGCUGAAUAGGUGCCAUCUGAUCCACGGCGUUCUUCGUGGCAAACACCGCAGCGCCGGACACGAGUCAGGUUUGAAGACCCUGUGUGCAUGCCUACGAGCUGCAGAUGCUUCAUGUGGCUAGCUGCCAAUAUUAGAUGCUGGACAGCGGAUAUGCUUCGACGCCGUGGGCUUUCAGCGACCAGCUGCCGGAGACGAUGUCACAUUUGCUGCUUGGCUUUGUCGUCGUGCGAGAGGUCUGGCAUUCCGUCCUCCACGAACGGCAGCAUAUGGAGUCGAUGUCUGACCACGACUAUAAGCUGAUUUACAUGGUGAACAACACAGUCAACGCGACGAAGGGAUGCAAGAGACAUGUGGAUAGCCGUCCUGUCUGGCAGUGCGGUGAAUGAUGUGAUCUUCAAUGACGUGGAGGUUUAAGGAGGCAUUGCUGUCUAUACCUACAAGAAGAGAAUGUGGACAUUUUUGUCUUGAGGAACUGGGUUUAGCUUUGACAGAUUUUGCUGUGCAACCGUGCCACUGUUCAACUCUGAGUAUAGUCUGUUGUCUGAACAAGUUAGCAGGAGCAUAGUCGGCACCAGAAGAUUUGGCAAAUAACUUCAGAAAUCUUGAUUGAACAUGGAUAUAUUAUUUCCUGGAAGGUAAGUCUAUAUAUUCAACAAGUUAGUAGCUGCAUGAUUGAUAAAGAGAUGUGGGCAUAUACUAUUGUUAUCCUGAUUCUAAGUUCUAGACAAUAUACUUCAACAGCUGGAGCCAUAUCAUUAUGUACAUAUAGCCACACUUCACACAUGCAAAUCAAGCUGUUUGGUUACUGCUCAGACAAGUCAGUCAAGCUCUUGCUCUACAACUAUGUCCCUGAUGGUAAUCUACAGGAGCUCCUCAGCGAGAACAGGAGCCUGGACUGGGAUUCAGGGUGGACACGGUCCGGGCCGGUCCGGUCCCUGACCGAGCCACCGUUUGGACCGGCCGCCGGCGGUCCGGACCGGACCGGACCGACCAGCCUCGCGGUCCUGGUUUCAAGGACCGGACCGGCGGCACUGAAGCCCGGGCCGGACCGAGCGGACCGGCCAACCACUACCAGCGACGACGUGCACGGGUGCACGGGUGCGCUGGCAAGGUGGGCGACGUGCGCACGACUGUGGCGAGAUGGGCGACAUGCGAUAGCGCGGGCGUCGAAGGGCGACCUGCUAUGGAAAGUGAUCUGGGUGGCGCGGCUGUUAGCCAUUAUUUUCUCUGUACCGUGAUGUUUCUUCCUUUGGCAGUUUUUCUACAGCAUGCAAGCAAUAUAGCACCUGCAUGAGCCCGUGAUUUUCUCUGUGAGGGCCUCGCCGUGAUUAGAGGAUCAAAUUGAACGUGGAGUUGAUCGUCAAAUGGCGCCGUGACUUUCGGAUCAGAUCCUUUUUCUCUCUUACUUUCUAUUUUCUGUUCGACUGAAACGGCAGCACGGGAUUGAUGGCGCGUGAUAAUAGGAAGAGGGCCCUAGUAUUAAAUCUUGGGCCUUCCAAAACAAUACUUUCCUGAUUUAUUGGAUGUGAAAAUCAUGACCGAGUAUUUCCCCCACGAUUCGAAAAUCACGAGAGAGUGUUUCUCCCACGAUUCGACUGGGCUGAAACGGCUGCUAUGGCACUUCGUCUGCACUGCAAAAAGCGUUGCCAUGGCAGGAAUUGCUGCCACGGUUGGGUCGAUGACAUGGUCGAGAACUCGAGAUCGGCGGCAGUUCACGCAUGGCAGCGAUGGCGAGCGGCAGCAAAAGGCUACGUCGCAAGGGUACGAGAGGAAGGAAGAAGAAGGGAAGCUCAUGGACAUGGUGGUUCAUCCAGGGGCUGCCGGUGGCCGCGAUGGCGAGGAACGGUGACUGCGGUGAUCGCGUUUUCUCGGUCCGCUCGGUCGGACCGGUUAAAGACCGGACCGGACCGAGAUUUUUUCGGGCCGAAUAUGGCAGCCCGGACCGCCCCUUUUCGCUAGCGGGCCAGGACCGAGCGGGCCAAGACCGAGCGGGCCACGAGCGGGCCAGAAAGACCGCUCGUUACGUCCACCUCCGACUGGGAUACACGGUACAAGAUCGUGGUCGGGGCAGCACUGAUACUCUACCGGGAUGUCAAGUGCGACAACAUCCCACAUAACCGACAUCAACACACAUACGAAAGUAAGCACGUCGAUAGAAAGUAAAGUCAUACAAGACCGAGCUUGCCCACAUGAAAAAAAAACCGAUGCCAUCGAAACAACGAUUGACAAAAUGCAACAACGACCUAAUUGAACCGGGUGCUUAUCUCCACUGAUCUUGGUUUCUCAGUUGGUUUUGCUGAUCAGGCAUGGUAUUGUUUGGGCAGACUGGGUGAUGAUGUAGAGGGUGGUUAAAGGGAGUGGAUUCGCGAAAGUGCUCUUCUGAUCCCGAGCUUCAUGUGAGCUCGGGUGAACAGUAAAUGGAAAAAAAAUCUGAUUUUUUUGUUCCAAACAUUGGCAAAUGUUUUCAUUGCUUGCAAAAUUUUAUCAUGAAAUGACAUUCUUGAAAUUUGUGUAAAAAAUGAUGCUCCAAAAUACUUUUGAAAAUGAAAUUGCUGCUCAUAACAAAGCUCCAAAUUAGGGAGGUAGAAAAAUAGAUUGCGGUGAGUGUGGAUCGAACACAUGACCUUCAGAUCUUCAGUCUGACGCUCUCCCAACUGAGCUAUCCCUGUUAUAGCCUGUUGUCUAGGUGCAUAGUCUGCACCGGAAGAUUUGGCAAAUGGCAUAGAAAUUCUUAUUGAACAUAGAUAUAUUGUUCUUGGAAGGAAAGUAUAUAUAUUCAACAAGUUAGUACCACCGGUUGCCCCAACACAUGUGCAUCUGUAGCACCAACAGCUGCUCAUCUGUUGUCAUGCCAUCUCGCAACGACUAUAUGCAUCUGUAGUAAUUCUGACAGAAGAAGCAAUACAUUUUUAUCAACAUGAAAUUUGUUUGGUAAAAUCCAUGAGAACUUCAUCAGUAACCAAUUGAUUGAUACCCCACAUAUGACAAGCAAGCGUGUUCCUUUCCAAAAAACUUCAAAAUGGACAUCACUUUUUCAUGAGUUCUUUCGGGAGUAAAGUAAGGUAAGGUCUUUGGUCACCAUUUACCUACCAUUUUAGUUAGUUCUACAUGUACAACUGAUUCAGCAACUCGAAAGGAAUUCUUUAAAAGGAAAUCAGUUAAGCAACUCGAAUGAAUCCAUCAUGCAUUGGUCUCAAAUCCAAGGAAAUAUGAGCAAAACCUCCCAAAUCUAAACAAAGCACCGAACAUCUUUCAGACGGAAAUUAACUCUUUCAGAACCUUUCAAAAGAUGACAUAUCAAGGAUCAAAAUCGACCACAUAGAUUGAUGACCAAGACUUUAUCCAUUAGUCUGGAUGCCUCAUAUGAUGAUAAUUCCAACCAUGGAACCACAGGUGUGGUGAUCCGUGAUAGCCCACGUACUCUUAUUCAUACACAUGCCCUCUGGUAUGAUUUUGCUGCUAGUCCAAUGGCGACGGAAGCUGUGGUGAUGUGCAAUGGAGUGCACAUGCCUCUUGAGAGGGGGUUAUGUAGAGUAAUGAUUUAGAGUGAUGCACAAGCUGUCAUCAAGCUAUGGGAGUCAUGCGGCUUUGAUCGAGAUUGCUGGAGCCUUGCGGAUUGAAGAACUGAGUGUGCAUUUUGAGAGUUCUAUGCCGAGCUUUGUUGGACAAGAUGCUAGUAUGGCAGCUCAUCUAUGUGCUAAACUGGUGGCCAAGUUUAGGAAGAGAUGUUUAUGGCUUAAUUUUACCCCUCUACUCCUAAUGAACAUAUUGCAUUGUGAUUGUAUGCUUGAUUAAGUAAGCAAUAAAGCUCUUCACUCACAAAAAAGGUAGAAAUUGCAAUGCGGCCAUCCCAGCAUAUCAAAACAUUUCUGGUUGUGGCGAUGACCUUUCUUUUCCAUAUGAUCCUACAAAAUGGACUGGGUUUCACUAUCAAGGGAUAACGAAACGACAAAUGCACAAAAACGUCCUGGUGCAAGAACAUAGCCUAAAACUGGUUUCAAUUGCUAACAACAAAAGCUAAUGGAUCCAAAUCUACUGCAAGUUGACUUGGGGUUCACAAUCAUCCCAAGCAAAAUGUUUUCGAUCACUAGCAUCAUCAUUCAGAAAACUCCAUUGCAUCGUUCCUCAUCCAUUCUUUCUCCAUUAGUUCACCUUCACCCACUUCUUGUUCCUCAUUUUCUCCAGCGUUACUCGCCUUGAUCUUCAACACAAGACUUCUUGGCUCCGCGCACCCACCAACAUGAUGUGCCAAUGCUUCUCGCUUCAAAGCAACAACACCUUGUUCCAGAAUCACACACUCUUCAUUAUUUUGUAGAUCUGCCCAAUAAAGCAUAAACAUGCAUGCAUAAUAGACGAAUUCAGCAAGAAAUCUAGUAAUUUUUUUCUCAAAACAAGAUCUAUUACAUAACUCGGAUGGGAAUGUAGUGGCUUAUCGUGAGGGUGAUGCACUCAUGGACUUGUAGUAGAGCUGGUAGCUGCCACGACAGCUUCCCUAUAUGUGGGUGGCCUUGAGGCAGGCGUCGUGGAGGGGCAUCUCUCCUCCAUCUCCUAUUAGGUCACAUCUAUGGAGUCCCUCAGCGUCUACCAUGACGUUGCUAUCAGGUCCCAUGGCUAUGGCUACUUCAAGUUCCACUCACAGAAUGAUGAUGAGAUCUGAUCUAUUAGAUCCCCAAAUACCUAAAGCAUU